UAAUUGGACGGAUAAGGAAGGAGAGGGAAUAUGUAGCUGCAGGCAAGUCAAGCGUGGGAUUUUUCAGUUACUCUGACCCUUCCUUCUCUCAAUAACGCUCAGAAAAUCAAUUGUACACCAUUAGUCCUCUCAUUCUUCAGUUCAUCUUAAACCGUAUCUUAUUAUCUUAAACCUUCAGUAAAACUCAGAAAACACAGAGAGGAAGAGAGAGUAAAAUGGGUUUCUGUGAAAUUUGAAAGGAAAGCUUCGGGAGAACUCAAGGAAUGAAAAGGGGGGAUUUUAGCAAGUUUAUCUAGCAGUUAAGGGAAUCUAAGAGGUAAGAAAGGAACUCUGAAAUUCAUAAUUUCUAUUUCGUAAGUAUUGCACUGUUAGAAAUUGUUUUGGUCUGUCUAGAAAGUUAUUAUGGUUGUGAUUUUAGUUUAAAAUCUUGAUUUGAUAGUAGUACGAAAAAUUUUCGAAUUUGAAUGAAUCAAAAUGGACUUAAAACGAAUCCUUGGAAGAUUAAGUAAAACAUGUAAAAAUAUGAAAAUAUGAUAAUCUAGCAUUGUGACAACCUGAAAAAUUAUAAGAUCUUGAACGAUUAAAUUAAAGGUUGUCUAAAACCUAGAGUGAAAAUAGAGAAUUUAUUAAAAUUUUAAAGAAGAACCUAAAUGGUUUACUAUGUGAAAGACAAUUGAGAAAAUAUGGAUUACAAAAUUCAAAAUCCUGGAAUGGAAUUAUAAGUAUUAUGUUACCUUUAACUUUAUAUGAAUUAAUGAAAGAGAUUAUGAAAUGAUAUAUAUGGAAAAGGUUUAAAACGGGAAUACAGUUUAAUACAGUUUCAAUUCAACUUGCUGAAUUAGUGAAUUUAUCUUUGCUGAAUUGGAAUUCGGUUUACUGAAUUAGUAUACACUUUGAAUCCAGGUUGCUGGAUUGGAGGUCAGUUUGAAUCCAGUUUGCUGAAUUGGAAAAACAGUUUACUGAAUUGAAAUUCAGUUUGAAUCUAGGUUGCUGGAUUAGUUAUGUCAGUUUCGUUGUGUUGGGAAACAACAAGUUGUUUGAAUAAUCUAGGAUGUUGGAUUAGGUAUUCGGCUUACUUGAUUAUAUAUAAGAACUUAUGAGAUGAUAGGUUAAGUGUUAGAUCAUAAUGUGUACAAUAAAGAGAAAUAAUAAGGAUAAAGAGGAUGAGUGUAUAUAUAUAUAUAUAUAUAUAUAUAUAUAUAUAUAUAUAUAUAUAUAUAUAAGCAUAUAUAUACAUAUACUUAAAAAUGUUAAUUAAAUUGAUCAUACAAGAUUAAUGGAAAGCUUAAUUAAUCAAGCUUAUAGAAGCUAAGCAUGAAUGGUAGUGUAAGAGAACUUAAAAAUAUUAAAUUGGGAAGAGAUAAGUUAGGUGUUGUGGUGAUAAUUAAAAUAAACAUAACCUAGUGGGAAAGUAUUAUAAAUUUAAUAAAAAGUCCCAGAAAAGGAUUAAAAUUAUGACAAGACAGACUUAUAUUUAUGCCAAGCCUAAUAUAUGAAAAUAUUAAUUAUUUACCAACGAAGUGAAUAAUUGUGACUUAUGUGAGGUAUGUAUGUGAUUAAAUAAAUAUAUAUUGUAAAUCUGCAUAUAUUUAUUUAUAAUUAUUUAGAGAGGAUUGAAAAGAAAACUAUUUAGCCUAAUAUUAUAUAUUAGGAAUGAGAAUUAAAUAAUUUAAUGGUUAUAGUAAUUGAAGAAUGCUAAUAUUUAAAUUAUGUACUAGUAAAUCAAUGAAAUGAAUAAUAAUCAAUAGAUGAUUAGUUGAUAUGAUUAAUAAUAUAAAGAGAAGUAAGUUAAAACUCAAAAUUUGAGUUAGGGAAAUAAUUUUGAAGCACGAACUGCUCGGUUGCGUCCAGAACGUCAAAAAUAGUCAGAAAAGGUGGUAAACACAAAAUGUGUCAAGGUUGACUUUUUGGUCAAAGUCAAUAGUUGACUUUUUAGGGAGAAAAAUCCAAAUUGGAGAUAGAAGUGGAAUUUGAACACGCGGACAAGAUAAUUGAGUCUGUAACGUCAAAAUUAGUAAGAAUAGACUCUAAACACGAAAUGUGUCGGGGUUGACUUUUUGGUCAAGGUCAACAGUUGAAUUUUUUGAAGAAAAGUCAAACUUGAAAUUUGGAGAUGAAUUUAAAGAAAAGGAGGUGCCCAUGACGUUGGGAGUAUUGAAUUUAGUAGGAAUCGACUAUAAACUCAAAAAUUUGAGUUUUCCGGUUCGAAAGUUAAAACGAAAUUAAAUACGCAAAACGAGUAAAUAAAAGCGGGGCACACAACAUAAAAUCUGCUGAGAUUUUUAUCUAUGUGUUGUCCACCUAACCCACCCACUCCCAACCACUCCCAUUAAUGCUCACCAAUUCCUUCUCUCUCUCCUAAAUUAUUUAGUUAAAGGAAAGAAAGAGAAUGAAGUUAAAACAACUGUCUCUCUCUCUCUCUCUCAUUUAUUCACUUCAUGCCCGAACCAAUAGAGAGGAAGAGAGAGAAAGUGGCUGCCAUGAAAGAGAAGAAAAGAGAGAAAGAUGGGAGGAGAAUAAGAAAAAGAAAUUAAGAGGAGAAGAUAUCAAAAGGUAUAAACCUUAAACUUUGUUUAAUUUAUUUUGGUGGAUUAUGAUGAAAUAAAGAUAUUGUAAGACCCCAGCUUUUUAUAAAUAAAAAAAAUCGAAUUUCCUCUAUUUAUUAUUGUAAAUAAUAAGGUGUUAAUUUGAUAUAAUACUUUGGUUAUGGGUGAAAUGCGCAAAUUUUGCAAAAUAAGUAUAAAAUAUUCAUUGUUGUCGGGGAAUAUUCGUUUGGUCGUGGAAUAUUCUUGCUGUCGAGAAAUAUUCGUACGACGGCGCAACCAUUUGUGGGCCCCAUAACGGAAAUCUGUCGGAUGAAGAAAACGACAAGUUUGAGUUUUUAUAAAUAACGGCGUAAUGGUUACCGUCAACACUGUUGGAAUACCCGGUGGUUAAAAUACAGUAAUACGUGUGGUUGCAUAGUAGCACACGGUAUUGCACAGUAUUUUUGAAUUAUUGAUUCUUACGUAAGAAGGCACUACUCAAUAAUUGUUAAAGUAAUUAUUGUUCAAUAUUUUAUUUUAUUGAUUCAAUAAUUGCUACGUUGAUAUUUUAUAUUAUUCUUGUUUCAAUAAUUGUCACUGCACAGUAUCUCCAUCAUCAGAUGAAUAAUUCAUAUUAUUUGAAUAAUAUUGUUAGAUAGCAUUAUUGGCAAUAUCUAAGGAAGUUCUGUCUAGGAAAGGGGUUUGGUCACCUAAUUACGUGCCAAUAAGGAGAAAUCCUUAUCGGAAAGCCCCCUCUUUUUUGGGAACGACCUGGUUGUCAUUAUUGUGAUUCUGUAAUAUUUUUUGUGAAUAAUUAAUUAUUGACUUAUAUGAUAAGGAAAUAUUUAUUUUUAUGUGGAUAUAAAUAAUGGAUAUUUAUUUUAUGUGGAUAUAAAUGAAGGAAUAAAUGCUGAGGUAUUUUAUCAGUAUUUUGUCAGAAUAGAGGUGUUGAAAAUCGUCCGUAUGUGAAUUUCGGUCAUUUUUCGUUUGGAAUUUGGAAAAACUUAAACUUACAAAGUUGUAGAGAAACUAGCACUAAUUUUUAUGCUCAAAGCUUUCUUAAACUCUAAAAAAAUACGCUCAAGAUUAUAGAAGGAGAAUUCUCUAAACUUCAAGUGUGAUUUUCAAUUCUAACUAAGCAUCCUAUUUAUAGAAGAAUAGAAAGGAUACUAUGCUGCACUAUGCAAUAAAAUAUAAUAUAUUCUAUUUAUAAUCAAAUAAAACAAAACUUUAUAAAAAGUAUUCUGUUUUAUAUAAAAAGUUUUUACCAUGCAAACACUAUGCAACACUAUGCAUAAUAAAAUAUAAUAUAUUCUAUUUAUANNNNNNNNNNNNNNNNNNNNNNNNNNNNNNNNNNNNNNNNNNNNNNNNNNNNNNNNNNNNNNNNNNNNNNNNNNNNNNNNNNNNNNNNNNNNNNNNNNNNNNNNNNNNNNACAAUAAUUGAAUCAAAUAACGUGAGAUACUAUGCAGCAAUUACUGUACCAAUAAUUGAACAAAACUGAGUGACUUAUCACGUAAGCAUCAAUAAUCAAUACCGUGUGCUACUAUGCAACCACACGUAUUACUGUACUUUUAACACCGGGUGUUUCAACAGUUAACGGUAAAACUUCCACCGUUCAUAAAGUAUUUUUGUCAUUUUUUCAAUCCGACAAUAAUUCCAUUGUGGGGUCCACCAAUGAUUGUGCCGUUGUACGAAUAUUUCCUGUUAAAACGAAUAUUCCCCGACCAAUCGAAUAUUAUAUAACAACUUACGUACUUUAAAAAAUUUAUAAAUAUUACCCACAACUAUAAUAUUAUAUCAAAUUCAUUCCAUAAUAUUCAAAAAUGAUAUUUAUAGAAAAUUCAUCUUUAUUUAUAAAAGUUGGGGUCUUACAUCUCUCUUGUUCUUGCUAUUUCUCCCGCCUUCUCUCUCUUGUUCUUCCUCUUUCUUUCUCUAAUUAAAAAAUCAUAAUAGGUGAAAUGAAAUGGAUGAUACUUAGGUUUUUGUUUAUAUAAAACCCAGUUUCAAUUUCUUAUAAGUUGGUCAUCCAAUUUAAGUCUUCUCUAGUCUUUCCCCUCGUCUUUAAAAGCUUGCAAAUCACCUCCUAACAUAUUCUUAGCAUAUUCUCGAAAUAUUCUUUAUUCAUUAACAUAUUCCUUAAGAUAUUUUCUUAAGUUUCAAAUAUUAUGUUUUCACCACCAAGGUGUUCCAACUUUUCAUUAUUGUCCAUUAACUUUCUAGUUCACUUCCAUACUUCAUUAAGUUAGCAAAAUUUCGCUUUUGCCUUCUCCUAAUUCAUUAAGCUAGCAAAAAGUCUGUUUUGCCCUUUCGUACAAUUAACUAGGGUUCAAUUUUCGAGUUAUAUCGGUCACCCGAUUUCUUUAUAGUUAGAUUUUCCUAACUCGUUCAACAUACAAAAACCUCAAAACUUCUUUCGUUGAUUUUUAUUACAUCUGCCAUCCUCAAAUAAUAACUACGACGUAAAUUUGAAAUUCUCAAAAAAUUUACUUUCUCUAAAUAUCUCCAUACUCUCAUACAUCAUUACUUAACACCAAACUAGGCCAUUAAUCGACCUAAAUAACAUUAAUAGUAAUAAUAUCAAUAAAAUUUAUUUAUUUAUUAGAUAUUAUCCUCGUAAAAUCUAAUUUCAAGGCUAUCCGAAAUCUCGGGUUAUCACAUGUUCCCCCAUUGCAGGGUUGGUUCGCCUCGGACUUGGUACACAUUUUCGCACCAAAAUAAUUUUGUUUGGCAUAAUUUCUCAAAGAUCGCUUGAAUUUCAUAAACAUUUUUCAGCAAUCGUCUAGUCGAAUCAAAUAGAUUUGACAUACAUCAAUAGUUCAGACAUCAAUCGAAACAUUUUAGCCAACUCACUGGCAUAAUUUUUCAUAGUUUAAAGAAAAUCAAAAAUCAUUUUAUGACGUCAUGAUACCGUACCAUUUUGACAGUACGUUGAGGAUUUCAUCAUUUUAUGACUUUGUCAUACUACAAAAUACCAUAGUGGGCUAACGGUCUUAUGAUCACAUCCAACACCAGGUUCGAUUGCAUUAAUGAAUCCAUCAUUUAUCAUUCUACACCAUGUUGAAUGAUGCAGAUGAUUAUAUAGAAUACAUUUUGAUAAUUUCAAAUCAUUUUCAUCUAGCCAAAAUAAUUAGCAUAUACAUAUGAAUAAUAGGACUUUUAACACUUAUUGGUUUAAUACUCUAAUCCAAUAUUUUUCAAAAACAUAACUAUCAGCAUGAUGUCAAUAAAUUUCGAAAUCUAGAAUAACUAGAGGAUUUGAAAUAUCCAUUUUACCUUCAACAACUUUGACUUUUAUCCAUCGGCCCAUUAUCUAAUAAUUCUAUCUAUUUCUAGCAGCAUUAAUGCUCACUAUACUAAAAAUUCUUACAUCUCAACUUACAACCUUCAUAUACCCCAGUAUAAUUCAUCAAACUUACCACACGUUAUGAGUUUAUGAUUGCUACAAUAAUAUAAGUUUAGGAACUUGUCCUAGCAAUAUGCAGUCCAAGAACAAAUUAGGGACUCUGUCCAUACACUUAGGGGCUCAAAAACAUAUCAUAUGAUCAUGAGUCACAAACCAUAAACAUGAGAUUCAAGAACUCGCACGUAAUCUUAAUAUUCUCUAACUAUCAGAUAUAAAUAUAUAUGAGAAAAGAAUCACAUUCUCACCAUAAAUAUACUGAUAGCGGAAUACUAAGAUUUCAAUGAUUAUCAAUGUAAUAGACUAAGUGGUCGUUAAACCAACCACAAAAUCCAUUCCCAUAUAAAGAUUUGCAUGAUUCCUCAAUUGAAAUUCCCCAAAAAACAAGUUUUUUCUUUCCUUUAUGCGAAUUUUCUUUAAUUUGUCUCUCAUCAUCUACAACUCUUUCUGAGUUUUCUCGUUCUAUCUCAUAGUACAUUCUCUUAAUAGCGUCAGGUUAUAACUGUUCAAUCAUUUAACAUAUUAUCUGUCAUUUCACAAUUCCAUCUGAUCACGUCGUGAUCUUAUUUUACAAUCGUUUUGCAUUACAAUCUUCCUUAGUCUACGAUCUUCUCACUUUUCCAUUCAAUCAUGUUAUAUUAUGAUUUCAUUUAAGCUUCUUAACUUAUAUUUAUCAUUAUAUCUUUGAAUUUCUAUAAUUCAAUUCAGGUGUUCCCUGAUCCUCUUCAUUUUACUUUAUUAUAGCUCUUCCAGAUUCUUCUUUGAAUCUUCUUAUAUAUAUCUUAAUCAUUUUCUUUAUAAAUCUUCUAAAUUUAUUUCUUAUUGUUCAAAGUAUGUCCGAGUUUAUUCUUUAUCAGAUGACUUAAACUCUAUCUCAGUUUAUUUUUGUACUAUCUCCGUCCAUUUCACUCUGGUUAUAUCCUAAGGUACCUCUUCUUAAGGUUUAUAAUAUACAACUCUGAUACCAACUGUAACGCCCCUAAAAUCAUGAUAAAUUUCAUUCAUGAUCUUGUGCGUUAAAAUACAAUCACGAUCUAACAUCUUUACAUUAUUAAUCGAUGUUAUAAUCAAUAAAAAAAAUGCGAAUAAAUUUAAUUUUAUUACUUUCUUUUAUAUCCUAAAUUUUUAUCACAAUUUAACUUUAUUUUUGUUGUACAUAAUAGUCUUUGUCCAUAUAGAUAUUAAAACUUAGUUAUUGCAAUGUUUACUCAAUUGCAGAAUUCGCAACCUUUAACACAUGUACAAAUAUUCAGAGUCGUAUGUAUUCCAUAAUAUGAUUUGUGAUAUCCCGAAUAUAUAUUAGUAAUAUUUCUUUUAAGGGAAAUAUUAAAAGAUUAAAUAAAGUCUAGAGAUUUAACCUAAUUAUUAAUAAAAAAAAAUGUGAAAAGAGUGGAUUAAUUUUUUUAUUUUAUCUAUGUGCUAUAAAGAGCCCAUAGGAUAUAAAAUUAUUGGGAAUAGAGACUUUUAAGAUAAAAGACUCUAAUUAAGAAUGUAUGAGACAUUAUAAAUAUUACUUAUUCAUAAUGAAAAUAAAGUAAUAUGUGGAGUUAAAUAAAUUUUGUGAGAUGUAGUAAGUAAAUGUAUUAUUAAAUGUAUACAUUUAUUAUUCAAAAUGAAAAGAGAAGCCAAUAAGGCCUAAUUGGGAAAUAUUCUUGACAUAAACCUACCUAUGAGAUUAAUAAAAUAAUUAUAUUAUGAUAUAAUUAAUUUCAUUCAAAAGAGUGUAUGUAGUAACAAAUACGGAAGAUGGUUUGCACUACCAUAAGUUAUUUAACUACAUGAAACCAUCAUUUUUAACGAUGUAUAUGCUAAUUAUUUUGCUAGCUUAAAUAAAUGUGAUGCAUAAAUAUUUAUAUGUAUUAGUGACCACAUUUAACUAUUGGGCCAUAUUAAAUUGGUAUUUAGUAUUCUUGCAAGCUGCUACAUUAAUCUUAGGGGCAAAGGUCUAAAAAUACCCGACCUUGAUGUUUACCCCGAUGUCCCACUUACACCCUGAACCUUUUUUUUUCAAAAGUACACUUGACGUUGUAAAACGUAACUCAAUUAUGCCCCUCCCGUUAAAAAAAUUUCAGCUAGACAAACGGGCGUUGGUGGCGACCGACACGUGGCAAACGGGCGUUAUUUUCUCUUUCUUCUCCAACUUUUCUCUCUUUCUUUCUUUCUCNNNNNNNNNNNNNNNNNNNNNNNNNNNNNNNNNNNNNNNNNNNNNNNNNNNNNNNNNNNNNNNNNNNNNNNNNNNNNNNNNNNNNNNNNNNNNNNNNNNNCGGACGUCAGGGACAACCGACACAUGGAAAAAAUAAAAUGUAAUAAUCUUUUUUUUAUUAUUUUCUCUUUCUUCUCUAACGUUUCUCUCUCUCUCUUUCUUUCUCCCCCCUCCCUUUUUAUUUUCUCUCUCUAUUUUCUUCUUCUUCUGUUACAAAAAUAACAAAACUAAAAUGCAUUAAUCAUAACAAUCAGCACAUACCCAUUACAGAAACAACUCAGCAACAGCUCAUAGAAGUCGAGAAAAUCCCAAAAAAUUGGAUUUUUAAGGAAAAACAAAACGUGAUUCACAAUCAAAUGAAACCACAAGAUAAUCUUUUGCAAACAUUAUAGUUAAAGAAUUUAUACACACUAAUAAUCACAUAAUCCUCAUAAAGCAAAAUUGCUAUUACAUUAAACUAGUUGCAUUUACAGAUUCCAAAAGCAAGCAAUAGAUUACCCAGAAAAAGAAGGAAGAAGUGGAAUACAACAUGGUUGUUGAAAAAACAAGAAAUUUCUCGCAGAGAAAGGGAGAAGGAAAAAGGGCAUUGAUUAUUCACGUAACAAAAAAAGAAAUAGAAUUCAAUUGCGUAUUCCCCAAGAUUCCUUUUCCGUUUCCUACAUUUUUCGCAUCAACCAAAUCGACAGUAAAGAAGCAACUAAAUAAACAAAUAAAAGAAAAUUAAUCCCUUUUGAUUACCUGAUUAGACAAUGCAGAUGUGGAAGCAAUCUUUCAUGACUAUUCAGAAGAGCCGAAAGAUGGAAUUUCAGCCCCAAUACCCACUCGAAGAAAGUGAAAGUAAUUUUGGUUUAAGCCUAACUUUUUUUCCUCUCCGUUUUUUUCUGGGUUUUUUCCAGAUCCGAUCAAAAAAAGAUGGAGUUUUGAUAUUUGAGUUAUAAUUCCUUUUGAUUGAUUUGUCUGUAGGGAAUUCGUCGAUUAAUGGGUGGAAAAAGAGGGAACAGAGGAAGAAGAAAGGAGAAAGAGAAAAAAGGUAGAAGAAAUAGAGAGAGAAAAGUUGGAGAAGAAAGAAAAAAUAAUAAAAAAAGAUUAUUAAAUUUUAUUUUUGCCACGUGUCAGUCGCCACUAAUGCUCAUUUGUCCAGCUAAAAUUUUUUUAACGGGAGGGGCAUUGUUGAGCUAUGUUUUACAACGUUAAGUGUACUUUUGGGAAAAAAAAGUUUAGGGUGUAAAUGGGACAUCGGGGUAAACAUCAAGGGUAUUUUUGGACCUUUUCCUUUAAUCUUAGUGUUAAUAAUUUUCUUGCUAUACCAGAAGAGCGUAAUAAGUCCAAGGAGUUAAUUAGUCCUAACUUGGUAUCUAACCCAAUUCGAUAGCCUCAUUGAUGGAACUGUUUAGUAGUUUGUUAGCUUGCAAGCCUUAAAAUUUCUUAAGUGCUAUAAGUUAUUUCAUUGAGCCUAAAACAAAACCAUUAUCAAUCCUUUUUCUUUGAGCAGUCCGGUAAUCCACAUGGGAAGAAUGAAGAAUUAAGUCUUGGUAAAUAACCAAGUUAACAAUUAGUUCAUUUAGCAAAUUGGUUAUCAAUUAAGUUGGGAAGCUAGCAAGGAUAGCUGGCAGUAGAGUGGCUGGGAUAAGGCUAAAAAUUAGGGGCCAAGUAGACUGUAGAGUAGUAGGAGACUGCUAAGCCUUGUAGGGGUUGUGUAGUGGUAAUGAUGAAGGCUAAUGUAGGGGACGGAUAGGAGCUAAAGAGAGCAGCCAGGUAGAGAUAAUGAUGGAGAGCAGCAAUAUGCCAAGUAGGUUGAUUGAGAGAGAGAGAAAGCUCAGCCAUAUAUGACCAUACAAUGCACCUGAAAUCAGAUAACUUCUUUACUUAUCCAAGUUCCAAAAGCAAUAUCAAUACCAGUCCAUUAGAUUGAGAGAGUAGCAAAGCUACGACUGGAAGGGAAGGAAGGAUUGAGCAUCAAAGCUACUUUAAUAUCUAGAAGUUAGCAAGUUAAGCAAUCUUAGAGUCUUUCCAUUCCUUUUCCAUUUCAUAUUUGAUAGUAGAAUGGGUUUUUAGUGGUUAUAGUAUUAAAUAAGACUAUGGUGGUUGUUAUGAUAAUAUUAGAGCUUUGUGUGGUUGUUGAGGCAUUAUACGGAGACCCUUAAUAAAUCAAAAGCCAAAAGACUGGGGAAAAUAGAAAGGAAAUUUGUGGAUACAUGUAAAUAAAAUCAUGUUCACCAACUGUUUGAUUAAAUGUCGAAGUAGGGGUUGUUAUAGUUUAAAAAUAUGCUAGCUAUGAAUUAGAGUCCAAAUCAUGUUUACACGCUCAUAUAUUGAUAUGAAUGCCUCAAACAUCAUAUGCUUCUUUAUUAUUCCAUUCUUUAUUAUUCUGUCGGAAUCUCCCGUCUGUGCGUUUACGCCGGACCUGGUUCCAUUAUUUGUUAUUAUAUUGGAAUAACCUGUUUAUGCGAAGUACUGCAUACAUGGUGAAAUUCUUCUGUUAUUCCAUUCUUUAUUAUUCUGUUGAAACAUCCUGUCUAUGCUUUACGCAUGACCUGGUUCCAUUAUUUAUUAUUCUGUUGGAAUAACCUGUCUGUGCGGUCUAUCGCAUGCCUGGUGAAUUCUUCUGUUAUUUCAUUAUUUAUUAUUCUGUUGGAAUAUCCUGUCUGUGCGUUUACGCAUGACCUGGUUCCAUUCUUUAUUAUUCUGUUGAAAUAACUUGUCUAUGUGGAUUACCGCAUGCAUUAUAAAUGAUCCUUCGUAUUCAUACGAAUAGUAUUUUCAUUAAAAAGGGGUUUCUGUCAGGGGCAGUUUCGUAAUUUUUCUGACCCUCAAAAAUUCUGGAAAAAUUUGAAAUGAUAAUUUGAUGAGUUUUCUAGAUUGUGUCCAAAAAUGACGAUUUUUGGGAUGUAUAGAUUAAGAGUUAUGGAUUUUAUGGGAAAAGACUAUUUUAAAAGUAAACCCUUAUAAAGCCUUGUGGUUAACUUCAAAAUUGGUAAAAUUUUUAUUGGGAGUACAUGUAUAUAACAGAAGUAUAACCCUGUAAAUUUCGGAAUUUUUAGACAAACGUACAAUUUAUGAUAAAUGUCUAAAUAUUCGGCAGUUUUAGCCAUAUGAAAAAUAGUAAAUGAAUUUUAAAAAUUCUGAGAAAAAUAUAUGUUCAAUAUGGGACUAUAUUCUGCUAAAUCCCAGAAAAGAAAUAUUUUUGGGACUGAUUUGGUAUUUUUCAUGAAAAUGAACUAGUUAUGAGUAAAUGAAUUAAAUAUGUUAUGUGAAGUAAUAAAAUUGGAAAAUAGGAUUUUAUGGCUUGAGAAUCCUAUAUAGGGUAUAUGCAGAUUUUUGAUGAGGGAUUUGAUCAUUGAUGAUGAAAUCUUAUGAGUAUGGCAUUUUUGAAUGAUUAAAUGCAUUAUUUGAUAAAGUGUAAACAAUUGAAAUAAAUUGUUUAUAAGUUUAAGAAAUGAUUAAAAUAUUGUUAUAAUAUUAAUGAUAUUAGAUUAUGAGAUUAUUAAGUGAUUGAUAACAUUUGGUUAUUAUUGAACGCUGGAUAAAUUGUAUUAUAAAUGUUUAAUAUUUAUCAUUUAUCUCAUUUGAUUAAUUCUUAUAUCAUUGUCAUCAUCCUCAUGCUUAUAUUAUAUUGAAAGUUAUCUUUGGUCGUAGUGCAUAGAUGGACUUGGUAUGAUUAUGACCAGGGAUUAUUCGGUAUAAUCAUGACCGUAAUGUUACAAAUGAUGUGGAAAAAGUCCUCAUUGGCCCGUAGUGCAUUGAUGAACAGUUUUUGGUAUGAUUAUGGUUAUGGAUUCUCUUCGGCCAAGGGUGCAAAGAUGAAUUGUUUUAUGGCAUGAUCUUGACCGUUGAUGAAAAUACGAUUAUCUUUUGCCGUAGUGCAUGGAUAAUUCGUGGUCGUGAUAUUAACGAAUAUCCUUAGCCGUAGUGCAUGGAUAAUUCAGUAAUAUGGAUUGAUUAUCGAGCUGAGUCUCAGCGAUGAAAUAUAAAUUCAUAGAUGUGAUAUUAACGAAUAUCCUUGGCCGUAGUGUAGGGGUGAUUCGAUGAUGGGGAUUAUUUAUUAAGCUGAGUCUCAGCGAUAAAAUAUUUAUUAUACACUUUUAAUUCGUAGAAGAUAGUAGAUAUCAUGCUCUACUUGACUCUUCUAAAAUACAGUUGUAUGUCUUUGGCAUGUAGUGCAAAAAUGAAUUGUUAAUUAAAAUCUUUGGCCGUAGUGCAAAGAUGAAUUUAUUAGUAUGAUUAUGAGCAGGAAUUCUGAUUUGGUAUAACCAUGAUUUUUGAUGUUUCAGGUGAAGAUAGGUGAUGAAAAUUAUCUUCGUCCUGGUUGCGAAGAGGAAUUUAGAACCACAAUUAUGAUUAUGAGUUAUUCAUAUGAUUGUGGACAGGAACUGUUGAUUUAUUUUACAUGGAUAAAACAUUAUUGGUGGACUUUUAACAUAGAGAAGAUAAUAGACCUUAUGGUCUAUUUGACUCUUCUAAUGGAUUGCUCGUUCCGCUGCAACUAUGGUUGAAAAGUUUUAUCAUCUACCAUAUGUUCUAAAUCUCUGAUUUAUUAUUGAUGAAAGCUAUUGAUAAUUUAAUUAUCUUUAGUCAUGAUAUUCUUUACUGGGCUAGUUGUGCUCACCCUUUCUGCUUCACAAUUCCUUUCAGGUAAUAAGAGUGUUGCCGUAAGAGUGUUGCCGGGUCGAGCGGGGAUAACAGGGGAAUAGAACAGUGGUCUCUAGCUGUGGAGGUUCUCCCUAAACAGUAUAGAAAAGUGUGUUGUAUUCUAUACAUCAUUUAGUAGUUAUAUUUGGUGAAUCAAAUAGGGUGAGGCGAACCCAACUUUGGAAGGGUGUUUUGCCACUAUCAUACAAGAUGUCUAAUGACAUACAACCUCGUGUUAUCAUAAGACAGGGUUGUGCACAUCCACUUGCUGAGUAUAUCUACGAGCACUACCUAUAUGAUCUUGGAGUUUAUUUGAAAUAUAAUUUUCACUUGGAGACAGUGGAGAUAGUUAUAUGUCAAGAGAAGACUCACCAUUGGAAAGAAGAUGAUAGUAAUCUUCUCGUUUUUCUUUGGGGUCUAUUGGGUCAACCAAGGAUAAUUCUGUGGACAUAUGAUAUCUAUCAUAACCUAGACGCAUGGCCUCCCAUGUACGAAGGUUUCCUUGAGCACUUCCCAAAGAUUUUAAUUUCUAAAACAGUUUUUGACUAUACUUUUAUGUAAAGUACCAUUGUAAGGUUGUGGUCGAGGCACCAUGAGAGUUACAUACAUUUGUAUUAAAACUCACAGUUAACUGUGGUCGUAUUCUAUACGACAGUUCAACAGUUGUAUAAAUGAAGUUGUAUAAAUGAAGUUGUAUUUAAAUUUUGUACCAUGUAUCUGGCGACUCAGAAUGGGUGAUGUAUACCUAAUUUUGGGGGCGUCAUAACCUAUAUACUAUGAUAAUUUUAUUUUAAAUAGUAGAGUACCAUACUCCACGAUCGUAGAGUGCAACUCCACGAUCAUAGAUAUCAACUUAAGAGUCAUCUGCGGACCCCCACUUUGAGUCCCAAAUUGGAAUACUGUAAAUUGAUGUUCCCAGACCAAUGAAAGAAGAAUUAAAAGCCUAUUAGGGACUAUUUUGAACAAAAGAUAAAAUCUCCGCAUUUAGAUAUAUUAAACCAUGAACAUAUAGUAUACAGAAAGUACUUAUUAUGAUAAAACUUAUACUUGAAAGCUUGAAGGCUGUUAUGGUAGUUUAGUACUAACUCAUGUUAAUAAUGCCUAAAAAUGAGUUGUUUUGGUAUUGGUACAUGAGAAAAGUUUCAAGCUUGUUAAAGUUUGUGAUGAUGAGUUUUAAGGAUCAUUUAAAGCUUAUAUGAAUGCUUAGAUAACCCUUGAAUCAUAGCUUGGAGACUGUUUGUGAGUAAUAGCUAAAAAUGUGCUUAAACUCUAGAUUAGAGGAAUGUUUUUGGUCAAGGUCAGUACCUGAACUUUUGAGUCAGUAAGGAGACUAUAAUAUGUCCAUAAUAAAAAUUUAAAAGUUGUUCCUUCACUUAGUUGAGGUCCAUAUUGAGUACUACUCAGUUUUUAUGUUUAAGGGCCAUGAAAAGUAAGCUUUAAAGUGUCAUCUAACACUUAAAAGAAGAGAGGCCAAACCUGGACCUUGUAGGUAAGUUUCAAUAGCUAUAAUAUGGCAUAAGUAAGCUACAUAAGUUAAAGAAACCAAGUCUAAACCGUUUUGAAUAUUAGACUUGUUAAAAAUCAUGUUUUAUAGGCCAAAAGUGGUCUGUUUUGGGUAAAUUUUAGUACCUAAAUUUGUAAGACUAUAAUGAACUCAUAUAAAGUUGCUAAUGCAUGCUGGUGAUGAUUUUUGAUCAUUUCCAUGACCAAAGUUAGUAAGAAAACCAAGUUAGGAUCUAUUUUUCAAGCUUAAAAUGAGUUUUGAUAGGUCAAAAUUGGCAAGAUGACUAAACAAAGUGAAAUGAUGAUAAAAGUAACCAUAGGCAACUAAAAUACAUAUGUCUAGACUAUUAAAGUAGCCAAAAAUGAAAGAAAUUUAAGAAGUGUCGAAAUUAGUUUUGGGAAAAAAGUGUUAAACUGUCCAGUUUGAGCCUCAGUUAAAGUAGGACUAACUGAUAUGAAUGAGGACCAUAAACCUUAUUAAAAUAUCUUGGUAUGUGGUCUAAAAGUAGGGCUAGAUGAUAGAGAUAAAAUCUUAACCAAGAAAUUCCAACAAAUCAUCAAAGUAGACAAUAAACUCAAUUCUGCAACAAUUGGGUAGUAAAGUGACUCGGUAGAUGGUAGAGUGAAAAACUCAGCAGAUGGUAGAGUGGAAAACUCAGCAGAUGGUAGAGUGACUCAGCAAAUGGUAGAGUGGCUCUGCAGAUAGUAGAGUGGUUCAGUAGAUAGUAGAGUGGCUCUACAGAUAGUAGAGUGGCUCAGAAGAUGGUAGAGUGGAAAACUCAGCAAAUGGUAGAGUGGAAAACUCAACAGAUAGUAGAGUGGAAAACUCAGCAAAUAUUAGAGUGAGAACUCUGAAAAUUGUAGAGUGGUCUCUAAAAAUCGUAAAGUGAACUCUGAAAAUAGUAAAAUGACUCUCAAAAUCGUAGAGAGAACUCUAAAAUUCGUAGAGUGAACUCUGAAAAUCGUAGAAUGACUCUCAAAAUCGUAGAGUGAAAAUUGUAGAGUGCAUAUAAUAGAGUAAAAAUGGGUAAACACCCUAGUUUGUGCCCAAUUUUGGUUAACUUCUAUAACUAAAUUUAAGAAACCAAACUCAAGGCAAAAUACUAUGAUAUAUGAUCUAAAUGCUUACACAAAUAAAAGAUCAAAUAUGUUAACCAUAAAGUCCAAAAACAUCAUCAAAGUGGCCUAAAAAUUCACUUUUGCUGCAGUUGAUAGUAGAGUGGAAAUGUAAAACACCCAUUUUGAGGCACUACCUUAAGAAGCCUUAAGAGGUUGUUUCAGUUGACUAACUAUGGAAUAAAAUACUAUAAUGUAUGGCUUAAAAGCUUGUUCAAACUUAGAAGGCAAAAGCUCAUUACAAAGAUUCAUAAAAAUCCCCAAAGUACCCUAGAAAAUCAUAUUUUCUAUUUUUGAAUAAUGAUGGAAUAAUGGGAUUUGAUUCCUGGAAAUGUCACAGCAUAACGUAAGAUCAUAUUUGAAGUGUAUAAUGAUCAAUGAUUUUUAUCAUGUUAUGAUUGGACCAAAAUGAGUAUAUUUGAGAAUGUAUAAGAACUAAGUAUGUAAUGUAUACUAUGUGUGUAUGAUCACAAAGUGAUGAACAAAGGCUAUAUGUCUAAUCUAAGUCUAAGGAACUUAGAUGAGUAAGGUUUAACCAAGUAAGGUAUGUUGUAAUGGUUUGAUACACACACAGUAAAUUACAAGUGCGAUAAACUAGCACAUGUGGUGAUGAAAGGAAAAUAAAACCGAGUUAUAUAAAUAACAAAGUUUAAUAUAAAAAAGGUAUAAGGACAAUAUAAGUAAAAGUAGGUUAUUAAAGUAAUGUUAACCAUGAGAUCAAGUAUUGACGAUGUUUAUUAUCAAUCUCACAUACCUUGUAGGUCAUGCAAAGGAACACGACAGGUUAACGGUAAAACACCUGUACAGACAAGUUUUUCAGAACUUGUUUUUAUAUGUGAACUUGUUAAUUGUUAUGUGCACAUACUUCCUGUAUUAUAUGUACUUCUUGUGAAUAAUUUGAGAUGUACGCUAUGUGUUAUACUAUGAUAUAAAUCUAUUGAAUCAAGUUAAUGAUUGAUGUGGAUUGAGUUAUGAAAACUCACUAUAUUCGUGAUAUGAGAUAUAUGAUAAGCAUGAGGCACGUAUAACUGUUGAGUAUGAAAAUUAUGAUGCCUGAAUAAAUGCAAAGUAUGAGAAACACGAAUUAUGUAUAAACUGCGGAGCAUUAACAAUUUAAAGUGUGUUUAAAAUGUGAACUUUGUAUUAUGUGAUAAUUGUUAAACUUAUUGGGCAACGUAGUUGCUCACCCUUGCUAUAAAUAAUUGUUUACAGCUAAACCAGAACGGAUCGAAGGAUUUAUGAUAGACACGUGAAAAAAGGAAGAAAUAUUGAUUGAAGUUAUUUGUUUAGUUCUAGCUAUGCUAGAGAACAUUCAUAUGACAUAUUGUAAUUGUAUAAUCAAAGAAGAUUGUAUAGAAGAAUAGUUAAGUCUAGUUGUGAGUUCAUGGAUACUUAAAAUCCAAUAUAUUUAAGUGAAACAUAUUAUUUAUAACUUGAACUGUAUAAUAUAAAUCAAUAUAAUUUAAAAGUGUAAAUACCAGGUUGUAAAGGUUGUAGAUUCUGGAAAUAGAAAGAAUUAAUGUAUUAAUUGGUAUCAAAGCGAGGUUGUAUUCAUUAUUUUAUGAAUAAAGGUUAUAAAUAUUCAUAUGAAGGUUGUAUAGUAAUGCACCAGGUCCGAGGUAACAGGUACUCAAAUUUGGGGGUGUUACAUGAUCCAUAUUAAAAUGCUAUUUGUGAACAUAGAGUUCAACUUCUGACUUUAAUCAUUACCUGUAUAUUCACAACGUAAUCCAACAUCUACAUACUCACUAUACACCACAUUUUAUACACUAUUGUCAUCACAUAAAUCUACUUUACAAAAAAUGGUAAAGUUAUAUUUCAUUUUCACACGAAUACUUUUAGUCAACAUCCAUCUAUUGGACGACUCAAAGUUUAUACAAUUCAAUAAAACUAUGUUACAACAUGUAGCAUCGACUUGGUAUAAACAAAACUUGAUAAAAUAAUACGCCUUUACUAAGCAUGUCGUAUUUGGAACCUUCGCUGCUAUAAUUUCUGAUAAAUCAACUUUCAUCUGCAAAUUUUAUAUUUUACAAGGUUAAGCACAACGACCAAGCAAGUCUAACAGUUUUCAUGCAUCAUGUUUCAUAUAUACUAUGCAUUUCAAUCAUGCAUCACGUAGCUCAUGUUAUGCAUUUUAUACAUGCUUCAUAAAUUUUAUACAAUGCAUUUACAUAUGCUUCACACAUCUCAUAAUAUGCAUCUUCAUAUGCGUACUUUCAAUUUCAUCAUAUUAUAUUUAGAUCGUACUUCAUAUGUUACCAAACGUAACAUUUCUCACAUAUCUCCAUUCACAUAUCACAAACAAAUUGAGUUCCAUAACUCAAUUAACUUUAGUCAUAAUUUGACUUUAGCAAUUCGUAUAGCAUUGACAUUAAAAAACAUGAAUUUUAACAUAUUCACAAGGAUUUCAUCAUAAUGCGAUAACAAUUGCACAUAACUAAAAUCGAGUUCACAUAAUACAAGUAAACUGAAAAACUUGUCUUUAUUGCAAAUUGUUACCAGGUCUACUUGAUAUCGUGUACUCAAAGCAAUGUUAUCUCUGUUAAGAAUAUACAUGAGAAUGUUAUUCCUUAUUUAUAUAAUUUGAUGAUGAAGAUGAUGAAGUUAAUGAAUAAUAUGCAAAUGUGCCUGCAUUGAUAAAAGCUGUAAAGUCCUUAAUAGAUGAUAGACAAUACAGACAAUGACUUAGAUUGAAAUGAUCAAAUAUGUUAGGUUGAUCUAAUAUGAAUGAAUAUUUUUAUAAAAGCCCUUCAAAAUAUCGUGAUGUACAAGGACUAUGAAUAGAAAGAUCAAAAUUUUUAGGUUGAUCUUAUAAAGUGUAAUAGAUAAGCAUGUUUGAUCAAAGAGCACUGAAUCGGUCACUAUAGUCUGCCAAAUGAAGAAUCGCAGGCUUCGCUCAAAAUCAUGGAGUCUACAAGUCAUCACCAAUGAAAAUCGUAGUCAGUCAAGUGCUCAUAAUACUAAAGUAGAAUCGUAGAGUACUCUACGAUUCUCAACAGAUGAACAAUCUUGAAGUGCAUACAUAGAUCUCAUCCUCUGAUAAGUGUAAUCAUGUUUUAGAAUGCAAUCUACUUGAAGAAUAUUAGAAAGCAUUCUUUGAAUGUCCUAAAAGUAAACAGAAGAUCAAAGCACCAACUCUACAGCAAGGCUAAUAGAGAAGUGAAAAGUUAUUCAGAAAGAGUCUCAUUAGAAGACAACGAUCGUAGUGCUUACCAAACAGCAAAAGGGUCUGUUAAAGAAACUACAAAGAUAAUGGUAAACCUUCCACAGAGUAAGCAUAAGACAAACUAGGAGGAUGUCAAUGCUUAGCCUCACCAUGGAGUAUGAUCAAGAGAUCACAAGGAUGAAGGUUAAGGAAGCUGAGCAUGACUAAUCAAAAGGGAUAUGCAAACCAAAGUUUCAAAGAAGUCAAUCAACUUGUUAGUUCUUGAAGCAAGGCAAGACAAGCAUGAUUGUAGAACAGAAUACAAAAGCAAAGUACAAGAUAGUACAAUUUUGAGCACUCUCGAAAUUAUAAGAGAUGUUAAGGUCAAAUCAUCCUACGAUUUCCACAGAAAAGCACGACCAAGUAAUCGUAGAGUUCAUAAAGGUCAACAUCAGCAUCGUAGAGGGCGUUUGUCUGAUGAGUGAGAAUGUCUAAACAAAGAAGACUGAUAUUCGAACUUUGUUAAUUGAGGAUCCCGAUAUACUCUCCAAAAAUCCUUGAUGUAAAUCAAGGAAAUAAAACAAAAGGGUGACUACCUACUAAUCUGCUGAAGGUGACAUUUCAGAAGUGUUAGGUGAUAAAGCAGACUGUUGUGUCAGGCAAGUCAAAAAGGAGUUAUCAUAUCAACUCAGUAUGUCUACAUAAAAGAUUUCAAAAUAGCUAAAACAUUAAAUGCUCCAAAUAAAGCUCUUCUACGGAAGACUCCCAACGAUUAUGUUCCAACGGGAAGAUGAUAGAUGAAUCUAAAAAUAGUCAAAGCUUCAAAGAACUUUAUAGAGAAAAUGUCUCAGUGAGAAUGAGACCACCACAGAAGAGUGAAUCAUAACUAAUGAGAGUCUUACAAUGAAAAAGCCUCACUCAAUACAAAGGAGUAUGACAACGAAGUGGCAUCUAUACUGAGAGCCUUCCGCCAAGAAGACAACAACUAGAGUGGCAGAUCAGAAAAUAGAAUACUUGAGUCACUCCACGUUUCACCAUGAACACACUGAGCUAAAGAAAAGAAGAUAAAGAGCCGAAUAUAUGCACAAGACAACCAGUGUUCAAAGACGGCUAAGUACCCAAAGAAGUCAAGCUGAUAUGCAAAGACUUAGCAGUACCUCAACGGUAACAAUGUGUAAUGCUGAAUAUCAGAUGAAGACAAACAUCAACAACAAAGAGCAACAACACCAAGGGAAGAAUCAGACUUCUAAGUACCAACAAGAUGUCAAGCUGAAUGUACAUCUUAGCAGUCUAUUAGAUGUGAUCAAGUACCAAUGCUGAAUGCCUAAUGAUCAAAAGAAGUCAUUAAGUACCAGAAGAUGAAUUGAACAAGUUAAAUGUCAUCUUAGCAUCUCAACAACAACAAACAACAAACAACCACCCAAGCAACCAGGGCCUGCAGGGUCCUUGCCUUAGUGACUAAACCAAAGUCGAGUCUGUUAAGCUUGCUGAGUACCGGAUGGUACAAGAGAUUCUAAGUCUGUCGAGCUUAGUCUACAGUUUCCAAGGCUGCUGGUCUUGAAGAGUUCUUAGUGAACUAGUGUUCCAAGGCUGUUGGUCUUGAAGGAUUCGAAGUUAAUCAAAUUCUUAGUGGAAUACCUGCUUGUUGAAGCAGAAGAGUGGAUUAGGAGCAUUCAGUCUCUGAACCACUUAAAACCUCUGGUGUAAUUUACUUUACGUCAUUUACAUUCAAUAUUUUAACUGUUAUAUCUGCUUGCAACUAACUUAACAUUAGAACUGUGUUUAAUGUUAUAUUCUUGAAGGGGAUCUUAAUCUAUUCUGAUGUGCAUAAAUUGAUUCCUCUAUUCAUUAUAUGUUUAUCACUUAUCUAGAUAAAAGAAAAAGAAAAGGUUUAAAUGAUCUAUUCAACCCCCCUUCUAGAUCUAUUAUGUGCCCCCGGGAACUAACAAUCUUGUAUCGCACCUAUAUAACAUACAUAAGGUGGUUAUGUAGGUUAAUGCAUUUAUAUCUCAUUAACUUUUGACUUAACUUUGUAUUUUUCAAGAUUAGUAAUUCAUUCUUAACUUUAUCAAAUAUAUUAGAUUUAUUUAUAUUAUUAUAGGUCAAAAUACACUAUUAAGUGUCCAAUUAUAUCAUCAUAUGUCACAAUAUAUCAAUCCUCCAAGUUUCAUUUUAAAAAGAAUUAUAAAACUCGUUUGAACUAUUUUAAUCGUUAACGAACCUUGUUUUUCGUUUAAUCAUAACUUCUUCGUUACUUAUCCGGUUUGGUUUAUUCUUACGCCAAAUUAAAGCUUAUUCCAUCUACUUUAACACCAUAUAGGCCCUGAUUUCAGUCCUUAUUCCAUUCGGUACAGAAAAUUGCCCAAACCUGCUACCCAGAAUCUGUCCAGAUUCUAGAAAGGUUGAAUGACACUUCUGUCCCUUCAAGUUGCCACAUACUUUCAAAGUCGUCCCUAAAGUUCAAUUUUUGUUAGUUAGGUCCUUAAAGUGGCAUUUUAUUGGCGUUUCAGUUUUUUCAGCCCAAUUUAACCUCAACCCGACCCAUUUUGACACAACCCGACCUAGUUAGACCCAACCUAAAAUUUUAAUAUUUAAAAUAUAAAAUUAUUUUUAAAAUAAUAAUUAUAUUUAACAUUUAAAAUAUAUAUAUUUAAUAUUUUAAAAUAAAUUAUUAUAUUUAAAAUAAUAAUUAUUUUAAUAUUUUAAAAUAAAAUAAUUAUUUAAAAAUAGCUAUUUUUGAUAUUUAAAAAUAAAAUAUUAGUUUUUCAAAAAAUUAAAUAAAAAUUAUUUUAAUAUUUUAAAAUAAAAUAUUUUUUAAAAUAAUUUUAAAAUAAUAAUUAUUGUACUUAAUAUUUUAAAAUAAUAUUUAUUUUUUAUAUUUAAAAUAAAACAUUAUUUUUAAAAAGUUAUAAAGAUAAUUAGUAUUAUAAGGAAAAAUAUUAGAAACUUUUAUUUUUUUCAAAAAUGAGUAAAGUUCCAUAAAAUAUAGAUUCAAAAAAAUUACAUAAUAUAAUAAAACAUUAAGUUUUAAAAAUAAAUUAAGUUUUUUUUUCAUUUUUUAUGUAAAAUGUAUUUUCAGAAAUUGUUUUUUAAUAUAUGUACCAUUAUUAUAUGUAUUCUUAAUAUAAGAAUUUUAAAAACAAAAACUAAAUAUAGAAAUUAAAAUAUAAAAAAUAGUAAAAGAUAAAUAAAAAGGUGAUUCAAUUUUUUUUUAAAAUAAAAAAAAUUAAAAAAAUAAUUAUUAUUUUUAGAAAGAAAAAAUUAUAAUUUUUUUAGAAAUAAUUAAGAACUUUAGGGAUUCAAUCUUAAUAUUAAAUGUAAUUAUUAUUUAAUUUUUUAAAAAAACUAAUAUCUUAUUUUAAAAUAUUAAAAUUAAUUAUUUUAUUUUAAAAUAUUAAAAUAAUUAUUAUUUUUAAAAGAAUAAUUUAUUUUAAAAUAUUAAAUAUUUUUUUAAAUGUUAAAUAUAAUUAUUAUUAUAAAAUGAUUUUAAAAAUAAUAUUAUAUUUUAAAAUAUUAAGAAAUCGGGAUUGGUCAAAAUGGGUCGAGUUUGGUCAAAAUUGGUCAAAAUGGGUCGGGUUGAGGUCAAAUUGGGCUGAAAGAACGGAAAUGCCAACAAAAUGUCAAUUUAAGGACCUAACUGAGAGAAAUUAAACUUUAGGGACGACUUUGAAAGUGGGUGACAACUUGGAGGGACAAAAGUGUCAUUCAGCCUUCUAGAAAUUCAAAUUUUUGUGUUUCUCGGGCUAGUUUUGUGAAUUUUUAUCUCAUUCAUUAUACAUCGGAUUAAAGCCAUUUUUGGAUAUGUACUACUUCAUACUACGUUUGUAUUUUUAAAAAUAUAACAUGUAUGAAAAGAGUUUGGCAAGGCUUCGAAACAGCCCAUUCACAACAGUUUUUGACUUGGAAAUUUCCAGAUUUCUAGCAACUUUGUUAUUUUCCUCCCUAAUUUGCGAUUUAGUAACUUGCACACCAUACACCUGAUUUACUUCAAUUUUGGAUAUGUUUGAGAUGUUAAUACAUACUCCCUUCGUCCCAUAUUAAAUGUCCUAAUUUCUUUUUUAGGAUGUUUCAAAAUAAAUGUCCUAUUUCUAUAUUAGUAACUAUAUAUUUCAUAUUUUUUCAUUUAUACCCUCAUAAUCUUUUUACUCGACUUUUAUUGGAAAUUGAAUAAAUGUGAAAAUAUUUAUGAGGUAGAACUGUGGGUGCGCAGAUAAUGAGAGUCACCAUGUUGAAACACUAACUAAAUUUGUAUUUUUGUCAAUAUUGUAAUCAGAAAUAUAAACUACUAGCAUUUGGCUAGAAUAUAUUUUUGUUUUAAGAAAAGAAAAGAACAAUAAUGUCUGCCAUUCUAAUUCAUUAGCCACGAAUAUAAAAAUUAUUUUUUGCAUAAAGAUCAUCAGCUGGGAGCAAGAACAGGGGAAUCCUGCACCGUCUUUUCAAUAUGAGAGAUACAAUUGAUUAGUUUAAAUAGCCAGUAGCCACUGACUUCUAUGUCUCUUCAGGUAAAAGAUUAAAUAGUUGGGUCUUGAUUUCAGAUGGAUGGUUGUUUCCAGUUUUGUGUUCAAAAAUUAAUAUGUAGAGAGCAUAACAAAUUUUUAUACCAUAAGCCAUAUGUGUGCCGUACUUUUUAUAUAAUAACUACUACUACUUUUGUUCUUAAUAUUUUUAACUUUUAUCAUGGUAGAAUUCUUAGCUCUUGCUGCCUUAUCUGUUGUAUAUGCCCACUAGGCCACUACCCAUCUGGUGCCUGUUUUCAUUUUUAGUGUAGAACUUUAAAGUCCGGAGUAGACUAAGAUAUGGCAUAUAUAUAGGCUAGCAUACUUCAAAUAUUUUUAACGCAUCAAUUAGAUUAGAGUUAGGGAUUGCAUGCAUUUGAGAUUAUUGUUCCAUUUUAUUUUCUUUUUUGGGUUGGACAUUUUUGUUCUUAUUCUUGAGACAUAGUUAUUGUAGGUUGCAGGUGGGGCAGGAUGAACAUGGGUGAUGCUGAGAGAAGACUCCUUGCUAAUGCGUUGCUUGCUAUCUCCAACUAAUAGUUCGUUCUCCUUUCUGAGGCAUGCAUACCUCUUCACAACUUUAACAUAGUUUACCACUAUAUAUCAAGAUCUUGUUUCAGCUUUAUGGAUGCAUAUGAUGACCUGUUGGAAAUUAUCUGCUAUAUUUCUAAUAGCAGUAAGUAACGCAACAAGGCAAAAAAAGAGAGCAGCAAAAUGAAUAAGGAAUGCCAAAAGAAUAACUCCUUCACUUUUCAAUUAAAAUCAUAAUAAUCCCCCUAAGGCUACUUACAACUACUAUUUAUAAAUUGAUGGAACAUGCAUGCCCACAUACUCCACUAUUAAUAAAGUGGAGAGACCCACUACUGCUACUAUCAAACCACUAAGCCACUACAUAAGACAAAAACAUAACCCCACUACUACAACUAGCCUUAAUAACAUAAAAUAUAAUUUGCAUCAUAUUUUAUCACUCCCCCUUGAUGCAAAAACUAGAUACACCAAGAAGAGACCUGAACAUCACAAGCUUAGAGUAAUGAAGAGCUUUAGUAAAAUCAUCAGCCACUUGCUCAGUUGUAGGACAAUACUUCAAUUCCAUUGCUCCUCCUGCUAUUACAUCUCUGAUAAAAUGAUGACAAAGUUCGAUGUGUUUGGUUCUUCCGUGGAAGACAGGAUUCUUCGUCAUUGCAAUUGUGGCCUUAUUGUCACAAUAUAUUUCUGUGGAACCAUGCUGAACUUGCUGCAAAUCUUCAAGAAUUCUCUUCAUCCAAAUACCUUGACAAACAGUUGAUGAUGCUGCAAUGUAGUCCUCCGCUUCUGAUGAAGAUAAUGCAGUGGUAGCUUGCUUCUUCGAACUCCAUGAAACAGCCCUUGAACCAAGGUUGAAUACAUAGCCACUUGUACUUUUUCUAUCAUCUACAAAACUUGUCCAAUCACUGUCAGUAAAACCAAUUAAUUGCAUCGUGGAGGUUGGACUAUACCAGAUUCCAUAGUUGCUAGUUGCUCGGAUAUAACAAAGAAUUUGUUUGGCUGCUCCAAGAUGAUGCAUUGACCGAUAGUGCAUGAACCUUUACACCAAAUUGACCAAAAACAUAAUAUCUGGGCGAGUAUGAGUCAAAUACAUCAGCCCACCAACAAUACUUCUAAACCACUUUUCAUUAGCCUUCGGUGUUCCAUCAUUCACAGUCAAUUUCUCACAGGUGUUCAUGGGAGUAGACACAACUUUACAAUUCAACAUAUUAAACUUCUUAAGUAAGUCUAGAGCAUACUUUUCACUACAAGAAAAAAGCUUAAGUCCGACGGAAUAGUCCCUCGAAAAUAAGCCUAUUCAGUCGGAAGUAGGCUAUUUCCGAUGAAAUUUUGCGUCGGACAUUCGGUUGUAUAUAAACGCGUCGAAGAUAAGGCCCGUUAAAAACUCUGUCGGAGUUUUCUUAUCUUCGACGAACUUAUCUCCGACGAAAAUGCGUCGAAAAUAAGCUAUUUAUGACUGAAUAAGUAGGACGAAACUUUUCGUCGAGUAUAAUAUUUAUUAUGUUCGACGGAACUAUUCCAUCGGAAGUAAGUUAUUUUCGACUGAAUAUUAAAAUGAACUGGUAUUUAUUUAAACUGGCUAAUUAUUAAUUCCGACGAAAUUUGCGUCGGAGAUAGCCUAGUUCGGACGGUUACAUUCCGUCGGAAUUAACAUAUAACAUUGUUUAUUAAAAAAUAUGUUCUUAUUAACACCGAUGGAAUAUCCGUCGGAAACACCUUAUUCCGUCGUAAAUAACAGUAAUUUUGAUAUGCUAUACACUAUGAUAAGGAACCCAAAUUUGAUAUGCUAUACACUUCAUAAUAUCAAUAUUCUGCAAUUUUCAAAUUCCAAAUAAUAUACAGUUAAAUAAUAUGCAGUCCACAGACCCAAAAUCAAAAUUUCAAUUUCAACAAUAUAUAUAAACAAGAAGAAUAGGACCCGAAUUUCAGAUUUCAGACUCCCAAUUCUACAGGACCCAAAUUUUCGACCCACAAAUUCAAAUCAACAACAUAUUAUCCAAAUUGGGUUAAUCUCAUAUUCAAACAACUCAAACUAAACCUAAAACAAAUUAAGCCACAAAUUUCAGAAAUAUCAUACAAAUUUCAGAAAUAUUAUAACUUUCAGACAUUCAAAAAUAAUUUUUAUUUAACAAUUUGCAACAAAUUAACCCUAAAAAUAUAAUGCUUUGCAGAAAACUAACCUUGAAAUUCAAUUAAUGUGCAAACUAAAGGAGAAGAUUAACCGACGGUGGUGCCUAGUGGUGGCUGCUGGUGGUGGUGGCAGUACGUGGUGGUGGUGGUGGACUCGAAGGUGGUGGUGGAACCGGUGGUGUUGGCGACGAUGGUGGUGGUGGAGAUGAGAGCAGUGAGAGAAGUGAGACUGAGAGAGAGAAUGAAGUGAGAGAGCGUAAAGUGAGAGAGAAAUGAGAGAGAGAGAUAGAGCAAAGUGAGAGAAAUGAGGGGCGGCUGGGGAAGACGUUCUGAUUAAUUAGGUUCUAUGCUUAUUUUCGAUGGAAUAUCCGUCGAACUUGACUCUGUAAUUAAGGUAUCUUCGACUGAAUACUCCGUCAGAAUACACACUAUUCCGUCGAAAAUAAGGUUGGCGCUGGCGGGAACAUUGGCGCCAAUGGGAUACAUAUAUUUCCGACGAACAUCCGUCGAAAUUAAUCUAGGUUCGACUGAAUUAUGUUCGACUGAAUAAUCCGUCGGAAUAAUUAUUAUCUUAGAGGGAAUAUGUCCGUCGAACUUAGCUCCGUCGGAAUUAGCCAGUUUUCUUGUGAAGCAAAAAUACCCUCAUUAGUUUGCUGAAUUUGAAGACCAAGAAAAUAAUGUAACAACCCCAAAUCUGUCAUCUCAAACUCACUCAUCAUGCUUUCUUUAAAUUAUCUAAUAAGAGCAUUAGAGGAGCCCAUAUAUAUCAUGUCAUCCAUAUAAACAAAAACAAUAAGCACAUCAUUACCCUUUACCUUCACAUAUAAGGUGGGUUCACUUUCACUUCGACAAAAAUCAUUUUGAAGGAAAUAGGAGUCAAGUCUGUUGCACCAAGCUCUCGGUGCUUGUUUGAGACCAUAAAUGGCCUUUUUCAACUUGUAAACUUUCUCCUCUUGACCAUUGAUAACAAAUCCCUGUAGUUGUUCAACAUACACAUCUUCAUCCAAAAACCCAUUUAGAAACACAGACUUUACAUCAAAUUGAAAAACAUUCCAAUUUUUUUGAGCCGCUAAUACCAAAAUUAGUCUAACAAUCUCAAAUCUAGCUACGGGUGAAAAGUUUCAAAAUAAUCAACUUCAUGCUUUUAUACAUACCCUUUAGCGACCAGCCUCACCUUAUGCUUCUGCACACUUCCAUCUGGUUGGUACUUACUUUGUAGACCCAUUUCACGCCAAUUGCUUUUUUCUCCGGUGGCAAAUCUACAAGCUCCCAUGUGUUAUUCCUUUCAAUGGCGGACAUCUUCUCCUUCAUUGAAUUCUCCCAUUCUUCUUUCCCACAAGCUUCAUCAUAACUUAAAGGUUCUACAAACAAAAGAGCAUAAGUGGAAGCAUAUAUAUCACUCAAAGACUGCAUCUUUAUUGGCGGAGAUUCAUUGUUUUGCAAGGAUUCACUGCUGCUAGAUGGGCUACUUCUAGUUGGACUAUUUUGCAAUGAUUUACUGCUGCUAGAUGGGCUAUUUGUUGAGCUUCUAGUUAAACUGUGCAUAGGAGACAUAUGAGGCGAAUUCAUGUACAUCCUCUUGUAGUUGAGUUAAUUUUGUCCCAUCAUCUACAAAAGGAUAUAUUCUGAUCUUUAUCACCAACUUGCUGCCAAACAAUGUUCUCAUCGAAAAUAACAUCUCGUCGAAUGAUUAGCUUCUUAGUAAGAGGAUUAUACAAACGAUAACCUUUAGUUUCAGCACUAUACCAAACAAAAAUGCACUUUUCGUUUUUCUUUUCCAACUUAGUACGAUCAGUAGAAUCAAUUAAGGCAUAUGCAAUAGAACCAAACACUUUUAAAUUACUUACAUUGGGCUUAACUCCCCACCAUGCUUCAUAAGGUGUUUGAUUUCUUUCUGCUUUUGUUAGAGAUAUAUUGAGAAGAUGGAUUACAGUAGCUAUUGCCUCGGCCCAAAAACUAUUUAGAAGCUCCUUCUCAUUUACCAUACUCCGUGCCAUUUCUACAACCGUCCGAUUUUUCCGUUCAGCAACUCCAUUCUGUUCUAGAGUCUUUCUUACUGUUAGUUGCCUCCGGAUACCAUUCUCUUUGCAAAAGAGAGUAAAUUCAUAGGACAAGAAACUUUCCCCUCUAUCAGUUCUGAGAGUUUUGAUUGCAUAACAUCUUUGUUUCUCUGCAAAAGCUUUGAACUCCUUAAACUUUUCAAACGCCUCAGAUUUUUGACUAAGAAAAAACACCCAACUCAUACGAGAAAAAUCAUCAGUAAAUAAUAAAAAAUAUUUACUAUUAUUUAAAGAUAAUGUUUUUGUUGGUCCAUAAAUAUAUGCGUGAACCAAUUCCAAAGGCAUCUUCGCUCUCCAAGCUUUACCAAUCGGAAAAGGCAGCUUAUGUUGCUUUCCAUAAACACAACCUUCACAAACACUAUCAACUGAACCAAUAGAUGGUAAUCCCGUCACCAUGUUUUUUUGACCCAAUAAUUUUAGCCCAUUAAAAUGCAAAUGCCCAUACCUUAAAUUCCAAAGCCUAGACUCUUCACGAACAUUAGCAACCAUUGCACAAUCAUCCAAACAUGAUAACGCAAGAUGAAACAUUUUGUUUUCAGUCAUGUGGACUUUAAAAAUAGAAUUUUCAGAUUUUCUAUUUUUAAUUUCACACAUUCCAUCAUGCAAAUGAACUAAAUAUCCCUUUUGAAUUAACUAACCCACACUAAGAAGGUUAUGUGCCAAACCAGGAAUAUAGUAAACAUCAUGAAUUAGUUUUUUAAUACCUGACUUAGUUUUAAUUGCAAUUGUCCCUUUUCCUUCAAUCUGUACUUGUUUGCCAUCACCAAGCCCGACCUUUAAUUGAACUGAUUCAUCCAUUGUUUGAAACAUUCCCCUUUCUCCGGUCAUAUGAUUUCUACAGCCACUGUUUAGAAACCAAACCUCAUUCUUACUUAUGUUAGGAUUUAAAUAAGUAAGAAAAGGCUACCUUCCUCUUCAUUUUCCUCGACAAAAUUGACUUGUUGUUUGGCUUUCUCAAUUUUUUCCGGGCAAUUUCGUGCUAUAUGACCAUAGUUGUUGCAAUUAUAGCACUGCCUUCCUUUGUUAUCCUGCCUGUCAAAAUGCCCCAUAUCAGACCUUCCUCGACCUCUUCCACGACCACGGUAGCCACCUCUACCUUGGCCUCUGCCAAAUAUCUUUUGUCCAGAAGAGCCUUCACCAAAUUUUCCUUUAUUUGAGAGCUUCACUUUGGUUUGAAAGGGAUGCUCAAGAUUCUUCUCUUUUGACCUGUUAAUUCUCUCUUCAUGUGCUAAAAGAGAACCCAUUAGUUCAUUAAGAGAAAAUGUAGACAAGUCCUUAGACUCCUCAAUGACUGUAACAACAUGAUCAAAUUUAUUCUGAAGACUUCUUAAUAUCUUCUCCACAAUUUUCUAAUCUGAGAUAGUUUCUCCAAAAGCUCUCAUUUGAUUAACUAUACCAGAUACUCUAAAAAAGAAAUCUUGAAUGGACUUGUUACCUUUCAUGAGAAGUGUCUCAAAUUCCCUUCGGAAUGUCUGCAAUUUAACCGUUGUUACCUUGUUGUCUCCGUGGAACUCCUACUUCAAAAUAGUCCAUGCUUCCUUUGAUUUUGUGGCACCAGCAAUUCGAGGAAAUAUAGGGUCUGUUACACCUGUUGAAAAACAAGUAGAGCCUUCACAUCCUUUUUGCGAAGUUCUCUAACAUCUGUUGCAUUCUCUACAAAACCAUUCUCAACCAACUCCCAAAGUUCUUGUGCAAUAAAAAAAGUUUUCAUUUUGAUGAUGCUCCAAAACUCAUAAUUUUCUCUAAUAAAUGAAGGAAUCAAGGAUUGAGAAAGAUUUAGAACAUUACCAUUUGCCAUAGUUGCAAAAAGCUUUACCUGAACACCUUGUGUGCACAACAAUAAGACCCACUGAUGAUGCUACAUCAACAAUCCAGAAAACUCCAGCGCCCAACGUCAAUCAAACGAGGCUCUGAUACCAAAAACUGUUGGAAAUCUGCUAUAUUUCUAAUAGCAGUAAGUAACGCAACAAGGCAAAAAAAAAAAGAGCAGCAAAAUGAAUAAGGAAUGCAAAAAGAAUAACUCCUUCACUUUUCAAUUAAAAUCAUAAUAAUCCCCCUAAAGCUACUUACAACUACUAUUUAUAAACUGAUGGAACAUGCCCACAUACUCCACAAUUAAUAAAGUGGAGAGACCCACUACUACUACUAUCAAACCACUAAGCCACUACAUAAGACAAAAACAUAACCCCACUACUACUACUAGCCUUAAUAACAUAAAAUAUAAUUUACAUCAUAUUUUAUCAUGACCCUGGACCCUAUGGAAAAGGGGGCUAUAAUGACAACAUGGUUCACGUGGUUAACAUCACCCAAUGGCACAACAGGUCUCAGUGGUUUGAAAUUAAUUGAAAACUAGCAAUUGACAUUGUUGAAGAUGAUACUUUUACCCAAAGUUUGAGUAAUUACGUUAUGCAGACCAGCGUGUUAUGUGGAAGAGCACUAUUUUCCAACCAUGUUGAGCAUCCAUUCGCCCAGCCUCUUGGCAAACAGGAGCAUUACCUUGGUGGACAGUGGACUGGUCUAUAGAUGGUGCUCAUCCUGCUACAUUUGGGAAAGCUAAUAUGACACAAUAAUUUUUUAAGAAAAUUCUCCAAGCUCAAACAUGGAGCUAUAAUAACCGGACAUUUUCACCUAUAAGAAACCCUUCGUUGGAAAUAAUUGUUUGUUGGUGCAUACUAUAUUACUUUUUGUUUAUUUCUAUAUAUAAUUUGUAUUGGCUUUAAGACUCUUUUUUUCAUGAAGGUGUUUAUUUGAAUUUUUAAUGUAAAAAUAUUUAAAAAUAUAUUUUUCUAGUGAAUAUGUUCUUUUAGUUGUAUUUAAUUUAUUUUUUUCAUUCAUUUUAUAAGUUUGUAGACUAUAGUAUAUAACAAACGAAAAAAAUCAUUUCACAUUUCAUUAAACAGUUAAAGUAAAGUAGAAUGAUAAUUUUAUUCUUGACCGAAUGAAUGAACAAACCAAACAUAAAAAUGGAAUGAUCAUUCCAUUCCCAUUCCCAUUCCCAUUCCCAUUCCAUUCCUUAAGCCAUUCCAUUCCUUACAUGCCAAGGAAUGGAAACCAAACAUAGUAUAAGUUGUUUUCGCGGUAGGCAACGUUAAGGGCUUUUAUUAUUUUUAUUACUAUUAUUAUUAAUAUUAUUAUUAACUAGCUCAUAAUCUUAUGAGAAGCACAAACUUUGUUUUGUUAUAAAAUUAUAGUGUUGUGGGCCCAAGUGCAAAAUUAGGGUUCACAUGACCUAAUUGAAUUAAAUGCACAAUUAGAGUUCCACGACCUCAUUAAAUGUGCAAAUUAGAAUUCACAUAACCUAAUCAAAUGAAGACGAAAAAGUUAGAAAUAAAUGUGCUAGACCCGAAAGAAGCCUCCACGUGUCCCGAGGCAGAAGACUCGUGGAGGCGACUCGUUUUGAGAAUUGAUUGAGGAAUGGGAUUGGUGGCUAGAAUGACAGGGAAAUAUGGGCAUUAUUCUAAUGACUAAAGGGUAUUUCUGUUAUUUCCCUGAAAACAUGUGCCUAACAUGUGACUACUUAAUUCUAGGAAACUCUAUAAAUACCCCUUCCAUUCUAGGAAGGGGGAGGACUCUUUUUGGUGACUUACGGUUUGGAUAUUCCACCUAAAAGCACUAAACGGGUUUGGGACCUCUCUUCAGACGCAUGACUUGGACUCUUGGAGGAUCAAAGGACCUGGACAUUCUCUCUCAACACUCAGGAAGAUUCUUUGAAUCCCAAUAACCCUAAUAAGGUUUUCGGAUUCUAGGAGUGGAAGGACUCAAGGAGAAGGCUCUUGAAAUCCCAAUAACCCUAAUAAGGUUUUCGGAUUCUAGGAGUUUUGCCACGCGUCAUUGGAGUAAUCGCCCACCUGUCGAUCUCCCCUCUUCAAUAAAUCAAUCAAUUCUGUGUUCUUCGUGUAUUUCUCUCCUCCUCAGCCAAUACGAAACCCUAAAUGGUAAGGCACGAUUUUCUUGCCCACAUUUCUUUGGCGACUCUGCUGGGGAGGUGUAGAAUUCAUGAAGGGUAUGCUCAUAACUCGAAGUGGGAGAACAACAGGAAAAGCUUCACCAACAAAUAGCAUUACCUCACCGGAUCCAGUUCCAAGGCAGUCAAGUCAAGCUUUCCAAGGCGUGAAUCUAAAUCUCGAGCAACCCAUCCUUAGAGAAGCCUCAGAAGGAACUUCAACAUCACCAUACAUGGCUGAUCAACAACUAACGAAUGUCAGGCAGACAGGUGUGAGAAGGCAAGGCGAGAAAGAAUGUGGGGAUCAGGCAAAUGCUGUGCAACUGGAGAUGCUCAAGACUUUGAAGGAAGCACGUGAAGGACAAGGGAUGAUGAUGGCUAUGAUGCUGAAGAUGCAGAGGAAGCAAGAAGAAAUGGAAAAUUUUCGUCAGCAGUGGAUGCAGAUUCCCGCUUUCAAAGCCAUGUUCCCAGACAAUUCACAUGGAGAACCGACAGGAGUGGAGAACAACAAUAACGAUAGAAACAAUAAGGAGAAUCAGACUGCACCUAUAUUGACGGAGCAUUAGUCUGUUCCAAUCAUCCACUUGGAACCUCAAAACAGUGGUGACGUGCCACAACCCAGAUUGGAAGUCAGCCAACCUCAGACAAACAUCAUUCUGAUUACUAUCCCCGCAUUUUCACAAGUGCAGAUACCAACCAUCCCAAGCCUCGUUCAACGAACUAGCCCACAAGCAUAACCGAUUGAUGCCAGUGUACAUCAGCUAAUUUCUGUACCACAGAGAGUCCAUACCACGAGCCAAUAUGUGACAAAGGAUGAUAUGAUCGAUGUGAUCAAUCAACUUCACAAGCAGACAUCCUGACCUUCAGAGUUCGACUUUACUCCACCCUACCCGGCACAUAUUCAGAGAUAACCUUACCCGACAGGGUAUAUUGAGCAUCCCCCACAAUUUUCAAAAUACAAUGGGGAGAAAGGAAAUGCCAGGGAACACAUUGCCAGGUUCGUGGAGUCUAUGUCUCCAUGGUUAGGGUAUGAUGAAAGGAACAAUCACAAUUUGUUGAUGAGGAAAUUCAACUAGACUUUGACAGAUAAUGCCUUCAGUUGGUACUACAACUUGGAGAAGGGAUCAGUCCAUGAUUGGGAUGAUCUAAAAGUGAAAUUUUUUAAGAAAUUUUUUUAUGUGCAGAAAUAGGUAACCAUCGUAGAGCUCAUGCGAUUCAAGUAAAAGCCAAACGAGGAGGUGUCAGAUUACGUGGAUAGGUUCAGGGCCCAAGCAUAGAAGUGUGCAGAGCCAAUUGAAGAAAAGAACUUGGUUAGCAUAUGCAACAAUGGUGCUUUAAACGCCUUCAAGCCCCACCUCAUUACCAAGGCAUGUGAUUCAUUUGCGACCCUCUCAUCUUUUGCACAAGACUUGGGGGGAAUAAUGACAUUUCCCACCAGCCAUACGAUGGAUACAUGGAAGAACAAGGGGAUAGCAACUGUGGCUUUGGUGGAUUCUCAGUCAAAACCACAAGGGGGCAAGAGGGAGAAGAAUGAGAAAUUUGAACGAAGCAGAGAAAAGCAUGGGGACAAGUAUACCAGAAUGCCCAUUCCAGAGGCUAUCACAUGCAGCGAGAAGGCAUUUAGGAGCCUGUACGAACAAUGGGUUGAGCACAAAGUGGUGAAACCUCCAAGGCCCCGGUUGGUUGUGACGGAAGAGAUGAAAAAAAGACUAGACUUCUGUGUAUACAACCAAUACGUACGGCAUUCCAUUAUGGACUGUUACAGUCUGCGGAGGAUAUACCAUGAGAAGCUGGCGGCCGAAGAGAUUGAACUAGGAGAAAAAACGUGCAACACUAUCACCCAUGGUGCAGUACCGAAAGUCAAUAACCUAAAUACUGGCUCUACCAUUGAAAGAACUCUGAACUAUAGAUGAAUUAAAAAUCCACCCAAGAUGGUGGUCCACCAAAAAAUGUUGGUUCAAGUCAUCAGGAGUAUCCCUUGCCAAAUAAUUGGAUGACCAAGGGAGGAGGCACAAGAAUUGACGAAAAAUUUUUUCCACCCAAGAUGGUGGUCCACACUAAAUGGUGGCCAAGUCCUCAUAGACUGCACUUUCUAAGAAAUUGGACGACCCAAGUGACGAGGCACCAAAUUUCAAUUCCUCGUAGACUGCACUUGCCAAGAAAUUGGACGACCCAAGUGACGAGGCACCCGAUUUCAAGUCCUCGUAGACCGUACUUGCCAAGAAAUUGGACGACCCAAGUGACGAGGCACCCGAGUGUUACACUUUAUCAUCAAAAGUGAAUGAGGCACUUGACUAUAAGUCCUCAGACCCGAAAAGUUAUACUUUCAACUUUAAAAGUAAUUGAGGCACCUGACUAUAAGCCCUCAACCCCGAAAAAGUUACACUUUAUCUCUAAAAGUGGUGAACGUUAUGCUUUCGCCGACAAAAGCAAGAUUUAUUAUAUGAAACGUUAUGCUUUUCGUUAAAAGCAAUUUGAUUAUCAAUAAAUUUGUCAAACUUUCACUUAUACUUGAUUUAUUUCUUUUGAUUUAUGAAAAAAAAUGAAAAAAUAAAUAAAUAAAAAAAAGAGUAUAGAUUCAAGUGUUAGUUUGUAUGAAAUAUAUGUACAUGAUUUUCUGAUACAGGAAAUAAAAAAAAAACUACGAAAGUUCAUGAUCUAAAGGCCAUGACCUGUCGAAUUGAAGAUAGAUGAAUACCUAAAGCUUGGUCUUCGUGGCUAUCAGUAAGGGUGUUCACGGGUAAAAAAUCGGAUCGAACCGGUCCGAACCGGACCGAAUGCCGAUAGUACCCAAAAUACAGUACCGAUACCGGUACCAGUUGAACCGGUAUACCGAACCGAAUAGCCGAUUCGAUACCGGUUCGGUACCGGUUUUUACUUUACUAGAACCGGCCCUAAUUUUAACAAAAACUCAGCCCAAUUUUAAACCAAAAUCAGCCCAAGAAAGAGCAGACCAAGACUUGUUUUUCUGCAAAAAUUCGGCCCAAGGUCAAGACAUUUUGACCCAAUAAAAAAUAAAAGACUUGAAAGUCUUUUUAUAAGAAAAACUUACUUGAACUUUUAUAAAAUAACCAAUGUGGGACUUGGCUAUUAAGGUCAUGUGCCUUUUUAGAAGGAAAACUUCAAAAUAUUUUUAUAAAAAAAACCAAUGUGGGACUUGGUCACUUGGCUAUUAAAAUCUCACUUGAUAGUAUUUUUAUAAGGAAAACUUCCUUACACUUUUAUAAAAUAACCAAUGUGAGACUUGACUAUUAAGGUCUUACUUGUAGUUUUUUUAUAGGAAAACUUCCUUAGACUUUUUAUAAAGAACCAAUGUGGGACUUUAAUACUGGACCUUCACUUGGUAGUCUUUUAUUAAUCAAUGUAGACCACUUAAAGAAGACUUUUAUUCUAAUUUCUUUUACUUUUACCAAUUAAAAUAAUAUAGAACUUGUAAACAACCAACUAUUAAUGUAUUUAAGUUUAUCUAAUUUUUUUUACUUUUUCCAAUCAUUAUAGAACUUGUAAACCACUAACUAUUAAUGUUUCCCUUAGUACUAUUUUUAUAAAAAAACUUUACUUGAUACUUGGUAGUCUAUACUUGAUAGUCUUUUAUAAAGAAAACUUCCUUAAACCUUUAUAAAUAACUAAUGUGGGACUUGACAAUUAAGGUCUCACUUGAUAGUCUUUUAUAAGGAAAAUUUCUUUUGAUUUUUAUAAAAUUAACCAAUGUGGGACUAGUACUUGUCCUUCACUUGGUAGUCUUUUAUAAGGAAAAUUUCCUUAGAGUUUUAUAAAAUUAGCUAAUGUGGGACUUGAAUACUUGACCUUAACUUGGUAGUCUUUUAUUAAUCAAUGUGGGACUUCUAAACAACCAUAUAAUCAAUGUAGGUCUCACUUGUAUUUUUUUUAAAGGAAAAUUUCCUUAGACUUUUAAAAGUGAACCAAUGUCGGACUUGACUAUUAAGGUUUUACUUUGAAGUCUUUUAAUAAAGAUAACUUCCUUAGACUUUUAAAAGUGAACCAAUAAGGGACUUGACUAUUAAGGUUUUACUUUGAAGUCUUUUUAUAAGGAAAACUUCCUUAGACUUUUACAAGUGAACCAAUGUGGGAAUUGACUAUUAACGUUUUACUUUGAAGUCUUUUUAUAAGGAAAACUUCCUUAGACUUUUACAAGUUAACCAAUGUGGGACUUGGCUAUAUGUUAUUCUCUUGUCUUACCAAUAUCCCCCAUUGUCUAAUUUGUGUUCUCAUGUCUUACUUCUAUUCUAUAAAUAGAGGAGACCACCAAUUCAAAUUUCAUUCAAGUCCCAAGUAUUUUAUUUUGUAUUUUCUUGUGUUAGUUCUAUAGUUCUAUUUUAUAAAUAGAGGAGACUUUAACCCAUUUUUUCAAAGCUAAGUGAAAUAUUUUUUAAAAAAAGAAUUAAACCGGUACAAUCGGUUCGGUCCGGUACAUACCGAACUUCUAAAAUAGGUAACCGGAACCGGUACCGAAAAAUCGGUAUAUACUGGUUUUUUUGUACUGAACCGGAUCGGUUCUUUUUUAUACCGAACCGACCGGUUCGGUCAGGUUUGGAAAAUUGAAAAACCAGAAAAACCGAUCCAAAUGAACUGCCCUAGCUAUCAGGCCUUCGAGGCUAUCAGCAGGUCAUCGAGGCUAUCAGCAGGUCUUCUAGGCAAUCAGCAGGUCUUCGAGGCUAUCAGCAGGACUUCGAUGCUAUCUUCAGGCCUUCGAUGCUAUCUUCAGGCCUUCGAUACUAUUAGGCCUUCGAGGCUAUCAGGACUUCGAGGUUAUCAGUAGGACUUCAAGGCUAUCAGCAGGUCUUCGAGGCUAUCAGGCCUUCGAAGAUAUCAGGCCUUCAAGGCUUUCAGGCCUUCACGGAAUUCUUGGUUCUCAAUGACUUCUUGAUUCUAAAGAAAAGAAAAAUUUCAAGAGAGGGUAAGAAAGAUUAGAUCGAAGAUUUUCAAAUUAUCCCAAGAGAGCUCCUCUAAGGCUCGCCCUUCUAGGGUUUGCUCCCCUAGAGGUUCCCUCUCCUAGGACUUUUAUUUUCGAGGCUUGCAAAACAUCAAGCCCCGCAAAGUGUUAAGACACUGGAAUCAAGACUUCAACACUAUGUUGGGAGAAUGCAUAUUAUGCUUUGAUGUUUUAAUGUAUAUGUUCAUAAUUAUUUGUAAGGUCCUUAAAUGAAUAUAUGUACAAGGACUUAGUGAUAGAUCAAAGUUGUUAGGUUGAUCUAAGCUUUCAACGUGUACCAUUCUGAUAAAGAAUGUAUAGAUAGAAAGAUCAAAACUGUUAGGUUGAUCUUAAGAUGUAAUAGAUUAGUCUUGAAGAAAUCGUAGUACAUCCAUCUGAUCAACAUUGCAGGAGUCAAGGCAGAAAACGUAGAGCCUGAAGAUCGUAGUGUGCCUGCCUUGAAGGGGACUCUUCGGAAAUCGUAGAGUGGUCCCAACGUUUGCCGAGCCAACUCCACGAUCGCAGUAUGCUGAAGGAAACAUGAAGUUUUAUAAGUCAACGACCGUAGUGUGCUCUCGGGAACAUAGAGUCAACAACACAAGCAAGAGAAGAUCGUAGUGUGCGAAGGUUUAAGGGAAAUCGUAGUGCUCUCGAACUGAUAACUUCGUAGUAUGCAAAGAUGUCAAAGACACUACGAUCUAAAUCAUAGAACACCACAAUCCAAAUCGUAGAGCAUCAUCUGUCUUAUGUCAGAAAACGUAGAGCCUCAUGAUCUGUGUUUUCAAUAAGUGAGGAAUGGAUCCCAGAUGCUGCAGUGCUCAUCAGUCCCAAAAUAUAUGAAAUAUCCUUAGUAUGUAACAAAGAAGCGUAUUGAAGAAGCUAAGGAUAGUACCAUGGGUAAGAGGGACAAAACACAUUUUCAGGUGGUAGGUGAGAAAGCAGCCUGCAGUGUCAGUGGGCCAGAAUGCAGAAUCCAGAAGAUGUGCAAAAAUGUCUCCAUCACAGUACAGAAAGUUCAGACGCAUUUAAUGCCACAACGGAUGGAUCCAACGAAUAGUUUUCAACAUCACAUAUAUAUACAGAUCAGACAGAUGAGAGAGAAAAUAAGCAAGCAUUAAACAAACAACGUGAACAUCUCUCUCAAGCUCAACUCUACGAUCUGAGAUAUUGCAAAGCUUGCUCAGCUACUCAGUUCUUUAGAACAAGUGCUUACACAGCGACUAAAUAGCAACCAUCAAGAACUCAACAACUAUCAAUCAACUGAAGAAGAGUACCAAGUCUGCUGGACUUGAAGAGUUUGUAGUGAACUGUAAGAAAGCCAAGUCUGUUGGACUUGAAGAGUUCAAGAGUGAACUAGAGAAGUUCCUAGACUGCUGGUCUAGAAGGAAUCUGUGUGAUUCAGAAGAUUGUAAAAGACAUCCUUAGUGGAUAUCCUACUCAUUGAGUAGAAGAGUGGACUAGGAGCUUUGAGUGCUCUGAACCACUUAAAAACAACUGUGUCAUUUACAUUCAUGUUAUAUCUGCUAUAACUUCCUUACUCGCUCAUAACUCCAUUGCCUGGUAAAGAAGAUUAAAACAAAUACUAAUUCCGCUAAGUUUUAAUCAUUAUCUAAGAACAAGUUUAAAAAGGAAAGAUUUUCAAAUAUCUAUUCAACCCCCCCCCCCUUCUAGAUAACUUGUGCCUACUAGGAACUAAUAAUUGGUAUCAGAGCAGGUUCUAUUUUACAGCUUACAAGCUUUAGUAGAUCCAAAUGGUACUCGUACCAAGCGAAUCCAGGACCAGGGGAGGCAGCAAGCCACCAAUGUGCAACAAGGAUAAAUUUGCUAACUGGAAAGUCAGGAUGCAAGCUUACAUGGACUCAAUAGAUGAAGAUCUAUUUAAGACUGUUCUUAAUGGGCCCUAUAUACCAACGAAGCUUGCACCAACCAUUGACGAUCCAAACAGAGUACAAAUCAAAGUUAAAGAAGAAUGGACAGACACAGAGAAGAGAGCUGUCCAACUUGAUAAAAAGGCAAAGAACAUCCUGUUCCAAUCCUUAGAGGACGAUCUGUUUGAAAAUGUUGUAAACAGCAAAACAGCUAAGGAAGUUUAGGAAGCACUGCUGAUUAUGCACGAAGGAACUGAAGAAGUCAGAGAGAACAAGCAGUCUCUCCUGACACAGCAGUAUGAAAUGUUCGCUCAUGUGCAAGGAGAAAACGUGACCACAACCUAUGAAAGAUUCAACGUUCUGCUCAACUCUCUACGAGUGUAUGGGAAGAUCUAUCCUAACAAGGAUCUAACCAUAAAGUUCAUGAGAGCCCUACCGAGCAGGUGGGAUGCAAAGACCACAACAAUAAGAGAAUCAAAGAAUCUUAAUGAGAUGACAGUUCAAAAAAUGUAUGGAAAUCUCCUGACCUACGAACUGGAGUUGACCCAACGCACUGAAACCUUAUCAGAAGGAAGAAGAAAGGAUAAGGGUGUUGCUCUNNNNNNNNNNNNNNNNNNNNNNNNNNNNNNNNNNNNNNNNNNNNNNNNNNNNNNNNNNNNNNNNNNNNNNNNNNNNNNNNNNNNNNNNNNNNNNNNNNNNNNNNNNNNNNNNNNNNNNNNNNNNNNNNNNNNNNNNNNNNNNNNNNNNNNNNNNNNNNNNNNNNNNNNNNNNNNNNNNNNNNNNNNNNNNNNNNNNNNNNNNNNNNNNNNNNNNNNNNNNNNNNNNNNNNNNNNNNNNNNNNNNNNNNNNNNNNNNNNNNNNNNNNNNNNNNNNNNNNNNNNNNNNNNNNNNNNNNNNNNNNNNNNNNNNNNNNNNNNNNNNNNNNNNNNNNNNNNNNNNNNNNNNNNNNNNNNNNNNNNNNNNNNNNNNNNNNNNNNNNNNNNNNNNNNNNNNNNNNNNNNNNNNNNNNNNNNNNNNNNNNNNNNNNNNNNNNNNNNNNNNNNNNNNNNNNNNNNNNNNNNNNNNNNNNNNNNNNNNNNNNNNNNNNNNNNNNNNNNNNNNNNNNNNNNNNNNNNNNNNNNNNNNNNNNNNNNNNNNNNNNNNNNNNNNNNNNNNNNNNNNNNNNNNNNNNNNNNNNNNNNNNNNNNUUCAACCUUGUUCUACUGUUUCUAGUUAUAUUCAGAGAAGUAAAGGAUCUCACGUUGGUCUGGGUUUCAUAAAGGAGAAAAGUAACCCAACCUCUACUCACCAACCUCGAAGAAUCGUAGAGUCAAGCAAAACCAACUCUAUGAAUUAACUAGGAAGGUACAAUAGAGGUAAGGCACACUCAUCCCUAUUUAUGAAACCUAAGGACACGUGGAAGAAAGAGAAUCAGUUUAACAGAAGGUUAACUAAGGAACCACACAAGUCCAAGUGGAAGAUGAAUCACCACACACACACAGGCAUGCAUCAUAAUAGAUGUUUCAUAUGCAAUAAAUUUGGUCAUAGGGCCACAAAGUGUUAUUAUAACUCCAUGCAUGUGAGACCCAAGAUUAGACAAAUUUGGGUCCCUAAAGGCACUAACAAUGAAGGACCCAUGCAAAUAUGGGUACCAAAAUGAAGGUUCAAAUGUUUUGACAGGAAAAGAGCUCCACGACCUCAACAUGGUAUCUGGACAGUGGAUGCUCAAGGCAUAUGACAGGGAACAAAGCUCUACUAUCUAACUAUGUAGAAAAAGAGGGUCCCUCAGUCAUCUUUGGAGAUAACGGCUAGGGUAAGACAAGAGGAUUUGGCUCUGCUGGAAAUGGUGCAGUAUCUUUCAGCAAAGUAGCUUAUGUGGAAGGACUCCAACACAACCUUCUAAGUAUCAGCCAACUCUGCGACAAGGGUCACCAAGUAACAUUUCUAAACAACCAAUGUCUAGUCAGAGAUUUGAAGACAUCUGCCAUAAAGCUGACCGGAACAAGAGAAGGAAAUGUCUACACAGUAGAUCUUGGUCAACUAAGCUCUGAUGAGACAAUAUGUUUUCUGGCAAAAGCAUCCGAGGAAAUGAGCUAGCUAUGGCAUAGAAGGCUGUCUCACUUAAACUUUAAAAGCAUGUCCAAACUGGCAUCAAAAGACCUUGUAGCUGGUCUACCCAAGUUCAACUUUGUGAAGGAAAGGCCAUGCAAUGCCUGCCAGCUUGGAAAUCAAACCAGAAGCUCAUUCAAGUGCAAGACUGCCAACUCCAUUGACAAACCCCUGCAUCUGCUCCACAUGGAUCUUUUUGGGUCAAUCCUAACAACUAGUCUUGAAGGAAAAAGAUACUCUCUAUUCAUAGUUGACGACUACACCAGAUUCACAUGGGUAUUUUUUUUAACCUCAAAGGAUGAGACAAGCUCCGAAUUAAUCAAGAUGUUCAGACUGGUGAUGAACGAGAAAGGAGAGAAAAUCAAGGCCAUAAGGAGUGAUCAUGGAAGAGAAUUUGAUUUCUUAGAAAUAGACAAGUUCUGCUCAGACAAUGGCAUCAGUCAUAACUUCUCAGCUCCACGAACUCCUCAACAAAAUGGAGUUGCUGAAAGAAAGAACAGAACCCUGAUAGAGGCUGGAAGGACUCUACUAGCAGCAGCUCGUCUUCCUGAAUACUUCUGGGCAGAAGCUGUCAACACUGCAUACUACUCACAGAAUAGAUCAUUAAUUCACUCUACGAUCAAGGAGACACCCUACGAACUAUGGAAAUGAAGGAAGCCGAGUGUCAGCUAUUUCUAUGUCUUUGGCUGUGCAUGCUAUAUUCUCAACAAUGGAAAACAGUAUCUGACAAAAUUUCAGCCCAAGUCAGACGAAGGAAUUUUUCUUGGAUAUGCCACAGACAGCAAAGCUUACAGGGUGUUUAACAAGAAGACACUGAAUAUCGAAGUCUCAAUACACAUCAUCUUUGAUGAAACUGACUUAGACUAAGCAGUACCUCAAGACACUACGACCGAUAGUGCAGACACUAUGNNNNNNNNNNNNNNNNNNNNNNNNNNNNNNNNNNNNNNNNNNNNNNNNNNNNNNNNNNNNNNNNNNNNNNNNNNNNNNNNNNNNNNNNNNNNNNNNNNNNACAUGUCCCACUAAGUCAAAAAGAGAGAGGGAAGUUACAAGUACAAAUUGAAACCGUGUUUUUGAAAUCUGAAGUUUAAAAGAUUAUCUCUCCCAUUCUCUCUCUCUCAAAGCAAAACCCUAAAUCAGUAGAAAGCUCAGUCGUAUCUCACUUCUCAAACUACAGAAUCAAUGGUUGCUUCAAAUGUAAUUUCAGGCUACAGACUCUGUUUUGACGAGUUCAAAGAUGCUCCACCAAAAUUUCACAAGACCUUAGCGCUACUGAAGAAGGCAGAUCUCGAAGAGGCGCUGAGCACCGACACCCUCAUCUACCCCAAGCUAGUGAAGGAGUUCUACAAGAAUGGUGUGAACGAACACAACACCAUCACUACACGAGUAAAAGGAGUAGAAAUGAGACUAAGGGAAGAAGACUUCAAUCUGGCCCUAGGUUUCAAGAAUGUAGGGCACCCAUUUCUAGACAGCAUAAGCUUCCAAGAGGGAUUGAAGAAAAUGCACCACAAGAAGAAUCCCUCUGUGAAAGGCUACAAAAAGAAGGAGUUCCCUCAAAGGUACGAAUUUUUGGCUGACAUUAUUGGGAAAUGCAUCUGUUGCAAGAGCUCAGGUCAUGACUCGGUAAAUGAGACUCAGCUUAAGCUCAUGACGGCCAUGGUUCAUGGUACACGACUCAACUAUGGGGUUGUAUUGCUCGAGUGGAUCGGCAAGUGGAUCGUCAACUCGAAGAAAUCAAAGAGCACUCCGAAGAUGCUGUAUGGCAGAUUCAUAAGCAUCAUUCUGCAAUCUGCACUGGGUGACAAAAUUGGGGAUGAUGAAGGAGAAGCCAUCAAUCCUAAUCGAAGAAUGACCCAGCAGUUGUUUAAGAACUGGGAAAGGAAUCCUGCUGAGUAUGUUCGAAUGAUGACAGAGUCCAGUGGGAGAACUGGGGAACUAAAGGAGGCAGGCUUUCCAGGAGACAUGUAUGUUGUCAAGGAAGUUAAAAAAGAAGAAAAAGCAGACAAGGGAGAACCCUCUGCUCUUGCCAGAAAAAGCAAGGGCAAGAGAAAGCUAAGGGCGAGACAAAUCGAAGAGCCUCAAGGAUCUACAACUGACAUUCCUGUAGAGUCCUCUGAUAUAGAGACUCUAAGGAGGAUAAGAAAGAAGCAACAGCAAGAAGAAGCUGAAGAGGAUCAAGCCACCAUAUCACAUAUCCUAAAGAAGAAUAAAACUGGUCAUAAGUCCAAAAGACCAACAGUUUCUUCUAUUGUAGAGUCUCUGAUGUUCUCUGAAACCAGGUCAAGUGUGGCAGAAAUGGAAGAAGCUGCUUCAAGAAUAGUGCAUGUUCAACAUGACAAAGCUAAGACUCAAGAGAGUCCAGAAGUUGUGGCUAAACCCAGCAAAGCAAAAAGAAAGCUGGUCAAGAAGUAUAUUCUUAAGAAUGAAAAGGUGCUGAAAAAUGAAGCCAAGAGUGUGGCUGCAAAAGAGGAACAACUCCAAGCAAAUAAAGAGGACAGUGCUCCAGCUGAGGGGGAGAUUCCAGAAAUUCUCAUGAUUGAGUACACACCGGCUGAGGGGGAGAAGUCUACAGCUCAAAAAGGUGUUCCAGCUGAUGGGGAGUUUUUGAUCUCUCAAGAAGAUGUUCAUGCUAAGGGGGAGCCUCUUGAUAUCCCAAUGGCAGAAGAAGAGGUUCCUGCCCAAGAUAAAGAUGAAUCAAUGCCAAAAUUUCCAGAGACCAUUGAGAUAAUGGAAUCUUCAGAAGAGACCAAAGAAGAGGAAGAAAAUGAUAAUGAUGAGCUUAAAAUCACUGGUGUAGGGAAAGAUGGAUUUAGGAGCUAUAUGUACACUCAACUAUUUUCCUACCUACCCAUGAUGGCAUACCAUCAAGCUCAAAUCUUGAACUCAUGGGAUCACAUGUUCUGGAGCUUCAAGGAAUAUCCAGCAAUCUCAGUUCUGGCUAAUGGAUUUCCAGGGAAAGUCAUCUUUGCCAAGAAGCUGCUUACCAACCAUUCCUCAUCCAAGGAUAAACUUGAGGUAUUGACUAUUCAUGAUCUCUUUAAAGUUAAUCACUUGUCAUCAUCUUCAUUCAGUCAAUUCUAUGAAUUUCCUCGAUGGAUGGAAGUGAUUCUUCACCCACUCAAUCAGUUUCCAGUUACAGAAUCUCAAAAUUCAGUAACUGAAGAACAAAAAGAAGUCAACCCUACCCUGCUUCCAUAAAUCACCAACUCUACGAUUCAAGACUCCAGCCACAUCGUAGAAUCCAACAUUGAAAUCGUAGAGUCACCUAUCUCAGACAUCCAAACCCAAGCCCCUCUAGCUGAUAUACCAUCCUCCUCAUCACAUGAUUACUUCAGUCUUGAUCUCGCUCUUUACAAUUUGCAAGAUCAAUCUCAACCGAGAACCCCUCAAAUGAACAAUCCUCAAGCAAAUGAUACUCUCCCAAGCCUGCCUACCAAGGAUGACUUGAAAGACACCUCUGAGAAAAUGGUCAAGUCUAUAGAAGCAAGUUUGGAAACUCACUCUGUAAAUAUCAAUAUCCAGCUGAAUCAAAUGAUCACAGCUGUAAAUAAUUUCCCUAGCACUAUGAAUACUGAGCUUACAAAGAGGCUAAGAGAAAUUAUCAAAGAAAUUCUGAAGAGUAUGUCGGACAGAGAUGAGAUCCACUUCCAAAGAGCUGCUAAGCAAAGAGAGGCUGUUCUCGAAAUGCAGAAACACCAAGACCUUCAACAUAAAAUUAUGCUGGACAACAUCCUCAACCUAAAGGCUUCUGUCUAUGACUUCCAGAAAUCUUAUGCAAAUCAGGAGAAACAUAACGAUAUGAUUCUGACAGUUCUCCAAAAUAAAGAAGCUAAAUCUGAAAAAUAGAUCAAGAAAAAUAGAGAGGACAUCGCUCAAACCCAAAGCCAACUGAACGAUCUUGUCCAAGGAGUUAAUCGACUGUCUGCAGAUAUUCGAACCCUUGAUGCUGACAUAAAGGGGGAGAAUAAAAGGAAAGGAGAUCAAGGAGGUCAGGGAGGUCAUGGAACUCAAGAAAGGGGAAGUCGACAAUUUCAUGCUCAAGCAUCACGAAGUCCCCCUGCAAGACAAUUCCACAGUCAAAAUCAACGAUCUGAUCAACAGGGAAUUGUAAUGGCUAUACCAUUAAGCCGUCAGGAGUCAACUCCCAGCUCACAAGAUGUGUCUACUGUACGCAUAAGAAUGCCCAUUGGAGAUCCUGCAUUCAUGCACAGACAUGAGGAGAAUCCAAUACUAAGUCUAAGCGAGCUAGAAGAGUUAGCCAGAAACGAGGAAACUCAAAGAAAAAGAAGGGCUGAGGAGUACGCCAACCCACCUCCACUAAAGAGGUCAAGGAAACAGAGAUAAGUUGAAACUUAAAUUUCCUAUUGAUGUAAUGCUGAAUUGUAAUAUCUUCUGAUCAUCAAUAAAUUCAUGCUUAUUCUCUAGAAAUUUCAGCUGCUCACUGAAAUACUAAGUCAUGUUUAAAUUCCUUGCAAAUGCAUCUAGUCACUAAUAAUCAUGACAAUAAAUCUCCUUGGUUAUGUCAACAUCAAAUAGGGGGAGAUUGUUGGGAGAAUGCAUAUUAUGAUUUAAUGUUUUAAUGUAUAUGUUCAUGAUUAUUUGUAAGGUCCUUAAAUGAAUAUAUGUACAAGGACUUAGUGAUAGAUCAAAGUUGUUAGGUUGAUCGAAGCUUUCAACGUGUACCAUUUUGAUAAAGAAUGUAUAGAUAGAAAGAUCAAAACUGUUAGGUUGAUCUUAAGAUGUAAUAGAUUAGUCUUAAAGAAAUUGUAGUACAUCCAUCUGAUCAACAUUGCAGGAGUCAAGGCAGAAAAUGUAGAGCCUGAAGAUCAUAGUGUGCCUGCCUUGAAGGGGACUCUUCAGAAAUCGUAGAGUGGUCCCAACGUUUGCCGAGCCAACUCCACGAUCGCAGUAUGCUGAAGGAAACAUGAAGUUUUACAAGUCAACGAUCGUAGUGUGCUCUCGGGAACGUAGAGUCAACAACACGAGCAAGAGAAGAUCGUAGUGUGCGAAGGUUUAAGGGAAAUCGUAGUGCUCUCGAACUGAUAACUUCGUAGUAUGCAAAGAUGUCAAAGACACUAUGAUCUAAAUCAUAGAACACCACGAUCCAAAUCGUAGAGCAUCAUCUGUCUCAUGUCAGAAAACGUCGAGCCUCAUGAUCUGUGUUUUCAAUAAGUGAGGAAUGGAUCCCAGAUGCUGCAGUGCUCAUCAGUCCCAGAAUAUAUGAAAUAUCCUUAGUAUGCAACAAAGAAGCGUAUUGAAGAAGCUAAGGAUAGUACCAUGGGUAAGAGGGACAAAACACCUUUUCAGGUGGUAGGUGAGAAAGCAGCCUGCAGUGUCAGUGGGCCAGAAUGCAGAAUUCAGAAGAUGUGCAGAAAUGUCUCCAUCACAGUACAGAAAGUUCAGAUGCAUUUAAUGCCACAACGGAUGGAUCCAACGGAUAGUUUUCAACAUCACAUAUAUAUACAGAUCAGACAGAUGAGAGAGAAAAUAAGCAAGCAUUAAACAAACAACGUGAACAUCUCUCUCAAGUUCAACUCUACGAUCUGAGAUAUUGCAAAGCUUGUUCAGCUACUCAGUUCUUUAGAACAAGUUCUUACACAACGACUGAAUAGCAACCAUCAAGAACUCAACAACUAUCAAUCAACUGAAGAAGAGUACCAAGUCUGCUGGACUUGAAGAGUUCGUAGUGAACUGUAAGAAAGCCAAGUCUGCUGGACUUGAAGAGUUCAAGAGUGAACUAGAGAAGUUCCUAGACUGCUGGUCUAGAAGGAAUCUGUGUGAUUUAGAAGAUUGUAAAAGACAUCCUUAGUGGAUAUCCUACUCGUUGAGUAGAAGAGUGGACUAGGAGCUUUGAGUGCUCUGAACCACUUAAAAAUAACUAUGUCGUUUACAUUCAUGUUAUAUCUGCUAUAACUGCCUUACUCGCUCAUAACUCCAUUGCUUGGUAAAGAAGAUUAAAACAAAUACUAAUUCCGCUAAGUUUUAAUCAUUAUCUAAGAACAAGUUUAAAAAGGAAAGAUUUUCAAAUAUCUAUUCAACCCCCCCCCCCCCUUCUAGAUAACUUGUGCCUACUAGGAACAAACAACUUACAAUAUUUUGCGCGAUCAUCUCACCAAAGGCGCGACUCACGCGCAGGGGGCAAAUGCUUACUCGUAGAUUGGUAGAUGACAUAGACGUCCUUCAGUAAAGGUGUAUUCCCCCAAGCUGUGAUGAAUAAAGAAUGUCAUGUUGGAUACGAAUGACAUAUAGAGGAGCACCAUGGUCCUGGGUGGAUACGAAUGUCCCUGCAUAGCUUGAUGUACUAAAGAAUGUCAUCUCUUUCUUCAGUAUACCCACAUAGUCAACAUUCCCAAGUACCUCGUCGAUCCAAUGAUGCCAUUCCUGAAGGAGACUAGAUGAAUCAGACAAGAAGUGAAGGGAACUGAAAGGGUACUCUUGUUUCUCUAUGCAUAGACGGGGAAUGCGAUCGGAAUGGGGAAGGUCAUCCCAACCUCCACAAGUCACUGCAUAUAGGAACAAGCAUUCCCUAUCUGGCAGAAGAAGAAUUGUACGAUCAUAAGUCUGGACUUGCUCCCAAACGACGUCGAAAAGACCAAAGGAGGGGAGCCCUUCCCCAAUCAUUGAGAAACGGGGCCUCUUUAGUUGUUCCCAAGUCUGAAGAAUGUUGGCCUGCAAGAAAAAAGAAUUCAGCAUAAGUGAUCUAAAGAGCAAGGAAAGGAGGCAUUUGAACUUGAAGUGCUCACUGUGGCAAAAAGGAAAUUCAGCAAAAGGGCGCGGCCAUGUUGGCUUCGGCCACCUAAGGGUUGUUCCUUUCAUUUCUUGAAAAAAAGGUCAUGUUAGCUUCGGCCCCUUAGGGCUCGGCCAUGUUGGCUUCGGUCACCUCGGGGUUGUUCUUUUCAUUUCUUAAAAAAAGAAAAAAAAGGCCAUGUUGGCUUUAGCCACCUAGGGCGCGACCAUGUUGACUUCGGCCCCCUAGGACGCGACCAUGUUGGCUUCAGCCCCAUAGGGCGCGGCCAUGUUAGGUUCAGCCACCUAGGGGUUGUUCCUUUCAUUUCCUUAAAAAAAAAAAAAAAAGCUAUGUUGGCUUCGGCCCCUUAGGGUUCGACCAUGUUGGCUUCGGCUACCUAGGGGUUGUUCUUUUCAUUUUUUUUUUUAAAAAAAAGAUGCCAUGUUGGCUCCGGCCCCCUAGGGCGCGACCAUGUUGGCUUCAGCCCCCUAGGACGAGGCCAUGUUGGGCGCGACCAUGUUGGCUUUGGCUACCUAGGGGUUGUUCCCCUUCAUACCUCCUAGGUCCUGUUACUCCACAAAUCAACUGCCUGGAACAAAUCCUCUUUCGCCGCAAAAAAUUAUAACCUUCCUCUGAUGAAUUCCGAGGGAAAAAACGAAGAUAUGAUCAAGGUAAUGGGGCUCGGAAAACAGAAGAAAGGCUACAAUUACCUGAAUAUAUAUAUAUAUAUAUAUAUAUAUAUGAAACAAUUAUGAGGAGUUCAAAAAAUCAAAGGUCUUCCAAUUCAAGGAGCAGUAUAAUUUUUGUAACCUCACGCAAAUAUUCUUGAUCCUUGAUCCACGUCGUGCGUGAGAAAGGUUCGGGAGUGGAGGCUUAUAAUUAAUGUGGCAAUUUAUAUAAGUUGCAUAUAUAUCACAAGAAGUUUACAAGCCCAACUAUUGGAUAAUUGCAUGCAAGCAGCACUUGGCCUAAUCAUGUAUACAUAUGAAGGAGUUAAACUUUGUUGGCUAGUAGGGGAGUAGCAUGUACAACUUCAAUAGGGGUCCCUUCUUAUUGCAAAUAACAUCCAAGUAAUGCGACGCACAGAACUGCCCACUGUAAUUUGGAUGCAAGAUAUUCGGCCGCGGAUUAUGAAUAUCGACUUCUUACUUCUCCAAAAUAAGAUAAGUAAAGAUUAUAUUUAUUUAUUUUGAAAAAUAAUAAUAAUAAUAAUAAUAAAAUAAAAUAAGAUUUUAUUUUAUUUCCUAGAAAAAAAUAAGAUUUGAUUUUUAUUUCCAAAAUAAAAGAAGAUUUAAUUUCCAAAACAAAAUUAAGAUUUGAUUUUAUAAAAUUAAGAUUUGAUUUUAUUUCCAAAAUAAAAUUAGUAUUUGAUUUGAUAAAAAGGAAAGUUUUGGUGUACCAAAAUAAAGAUUUUUUAUUUGGUGAUAUUUGAUUAUCUUUCCUGUUUUAAUUUUCAAAAAAAAAUAAGGAAACAAAUCUUGGGCGAGUUAUGGAAAUAUUAUUGGAGGAUUUCCCAAUAUGUCCAAGGAAGAGUCCUGCUAGGUUUUGCCUCUCUAUGAUUUAACCCUAAGGGUUUGGCUCCCUAGGGGUUCCCUCUACUAGGACCAUCGUUUUUCAAGACCUGUAAAGUGAAGUCCCGUAAAAUCGUCCAAAGGCUUGAAGUAUUCUUGCACGAUCGUCUAUUUGGGAAUGCGACUCUCGCGCAGGGGGCAAAUGUGGGCCCAAGUGUAAAAUUAGGGUUCAAAUGACCUAAUUGAAUUAAAUGCACAAUUAGGGUUCCACGACCUCAUUAAAUGUGCAAAUUAAGAUUCACAUAACCUAAUCAAAUGAAGACCCGAGAGAAGCCUCCACGUGUCCUGAGGCAAAAGACUCGUGGAGGCGACUCGUUUUGGGAAUUGAUUGAGGGAUUGGAUUUGUGGCUAGAAUGACAGGGCAAUAUGGGCAUUAUUCUAGUGACUAAAGGGUAUUUCUGUAAUUUUCCUGAAAACAUGUGCCUAACAUGUGACUACUUAAUUCCAGGAAACUCUAUAAAUACCCCUUCCAAUCUAGGAAGGGGAAGGACUCUUUUUGGUGACUUAAGGCUUGGAUAUUCCACCUAAAAACACUAAAAGGGUUUGGGACCUCUCUUCAGACGCAGGACUUGGACUCUUAGAAGAUCAAAGGACCUGAACAUUCUCUCUCAACACUCAGGAAGACUCUUUGAAUCCCAAUAACCCUAAUAAGGUUUCCGGAUUCUAAGAGUGGAAGGACUUAAGGAGAAGGCUUUUGGAAUCCCAAUAACCCUAAUAAGGUUUUCGGAUUCUAGGAGUUUUGUUUUUUUUUAAAACAACUAAAAAAAAGUUAAAUAUUUUAUGGAACUGGAAUUUUUUCCGUAAUACAGUGUUUUGGGAGUUUUGUUUCUGUAUAGACUGUUUUGUUAUAUGUAUCCAAAUCACGCCCAAAACACUGUAUUACGGAAAAAUUCCAGUUCCAUAAAAUAUUAAACUUUUUUUUUAGUUGUUUUAAAAAAAAGGAAAAAAAAGUCCGCAUUUUAAGAAAAUGCGGGAGUCCGGAUAGGAACCGGACCAUAUAUAUAUAUAUAUAUAUAUAUAUAUAUAUAUAUAUAUAUAUAUAUAUAUAUAAGGGAAUUANNNNNNNNNNNNNNNNNNNNNNNNNNNNNNNNNNNNNNNNNNNNNNNNNNNNNNNNNNNNNNNNNNNNNNNNNNNNNNNNNNNNNNNNNNNNNNNNNNNNUGCACUUCACAUGUUUGAUUAAAUUACUCUUAGAGGCUGUGAAGUUUUAAAAGUGAGAACUUGAUGUUAUUAUAAGCAAGAAAGCUUAUGUUUAUAAAAUAUAUGUGUCUCAAGUGGCUUAACUAAAUUAGAAAUGGUUUAGAAGUAAGUUUAAGUGAAUUGAGUAAUUUUGGUUUGGUUAGAAAACUUAUGUGGCUGAGCAGUUUUGAGCCAAUAUAGAACCUGUGUGAAAUAUUUAUUUGGAGUAAUUUAUAUUUUUUUAAAAUAGUAUGUCAUACCUUCUAUAACAUGUUAAAAGUUGGUUCCAAUUGGAUGUGUAUAUGUUAAGUAAGAAAAUUGUAAAGUGGCUACGAAAAAUGCGAAAUUUGGGAAUUCUACACUUUAUUUUUGGGAUCCACGGAACAAAGUAUUUUAAAAAUGAAUAGGAGCUUUUCAUUAGACUGGUAAGAACCUGAAUGAGGUAAUUGUCAACAAGGUAACUUUGUCAUCAAAUCCGCUAGUAAGUUCUGGCAAUCGUAUUUUCUUACAUGUCAUGUUUAGGGUAUGGGGUGGUUCUGAAAAUUCGCCUGUAGCUAUCUUCUUGAAAACGAUAUGAUCAGCUUUUUCUGAGAAAGCAACUCCAUCCCAACUUAUUCGUUUAGAAGGAUCUUUACAUGGUCCCACAACUAUUUCGGUUCCAUUUAUGGUAGUUGUUUGUCCACAAAAUCCAGUUUCUGCCCAAUUAUAUUUUCCUCCUAAACCACAACAAGCUAGAAGAGGAAAUUUGAAUCCUGCAUAUUUAUAAAUUUCAUUAAAAAAUUAUCAUACAAAUGUAUAUAUAGAACGAGUAUUAUUGACAUUAAUGAACUUCUACAACUUUCUAACAUGUUGAUGAUUAUUAUAUUAAGGCAUAACAAUUAUUAUUUUACUUGAAUGUGUUUGAGUGAAAUAAAUUAUUCUAUUGAGAAUUUCUUUAAUAUAUGAUUAAGAUAUAUUCUUGUGGUAUUAAUUACUCGACUUGGAUUAGAGUAAGAUGGAGCACGACAUACCAUAUUUUUUGGGUUCCUUGUAGAGAUCAUACUUUGGAGUAAAAACAUCUACAUAUGUGAACGCAGCCAGGGGGAGGUCUUUUCGAAGUUGAUCAACAACCUCUUUCAACUUGGAAUUGAAAUAUUGAGCUAAAUCAUUAUGAGGUAUUGCGCAACCUGAACUAUCUAUUUGGUCUUCUGGAACUGGUAACAAUGUCAAAAUAUAAGGAAGGCAACCAAGGGGUCCAGUGUUUUGGAUCCAAAACGAUCUACCUCCCAAAUCGUAUAGUUUCUGCAAGAAUCAAUAUUCAGUAAAGGGAAUUAGUAUUCGUGUUAAGAGAAUUUAUAAGUUAAUUACAUGCUACCUGAAAAGAUAUAUAAAUUAAGCAAGGCUUAUAUACCUUCACAUUCAAUGAGAGGCUGUUAACAGUAGGUGGUAUAAUUAUUUUAAUUUCGUCAUAGGUCAUGUUAGUCAACAAUCCUUGGACGAGGUCAUUUUGGCCAAUAUCAAUAGUAUACAAUGCUUUGGAAAAAUAUUCCUUCUUGGGCAGCAAAUUCUUGAACACCCCUCCUAAAAUAACAACCAAAAUUUUUUACAUCUAUAAAAGUACAAGAUAAAAAGUUAUAUGAGCAGGAAAUUAAUUCAUAUUUAAUUAAAAAAAAAUAUACCUUUUUCCCUGAUCGUCUGUGAUCUAUUCACGAAUUGUGUGAAUUGUGAAAUUUGAAUGUCAAGAUAAAUAGGACUAAAUGCACGCGGUUGUUGGGCCACCGGAAGAAUUAACUUGGGCGGUGCAAUUGUAGCCAAUAGUUGGGCAAAAUUAACACCAUAAGAGAAGUUGGCACCCAAGGAAUCAAGAUAAGGGUGGAGGAAUGGUUUACCUAAACUUGAAGCUACAACAUUAAAAUUUAGUCAUUAGGUUUGUAAGUAAUGUAGUAACUAGAAAGCGAUUGAAUUUUGUAGGAUUUGAAUUCCAUAACUGUUAAAAUUGGACAGUUUGUUACUUUGUUUGGACAGUUCUAUAAUAACAAAUAGCAUUUAUAUAUAUAGAUGAGAGUAGCAAAUAUAUAAUACUUGUUUAACAAAUAUCAUCUAUAAUGCAAGUAUGUGCUAUGUCAAUGCAACCGAUUCUAUACAUAGACGGUCUAAAUGGACUGCUCAAUUCAAAUUGUCUAGAAUUAGGAUCGGAAAAUAUUAACCUAUAAAGUCGAUUAUGAUACGCCCAUUAGAGGCUCUUCCUGCUGGCAUUUUAAAGUAGGUUUGUCCAUAAAAUGGAGGUGUCCCUGCAGUGAAGGCAGCAGUAAACCCACCGGUGUCCGAAUUCCCGUCACCAAAGGUGAAGAUAGCUGGAAAAUCACAAGUGUGCAAUGCCAAAACAGGAGAGAGAAAAAGAAUGCAAACCAAGGAGAGAGAGAAUGCAGUUCUGCUCGUGCUUAGGGACUUCAUGU
This 52469-nucleotide long non-coding RNA is filed under the name Panax ginseng (ginseng). RNAcentral's name for it is "long non-coding RNA (PGIN_LNC011315)". Lineage: Eukaryota; Viridiplantae; Streptophyta; Magnoliopsida; Apiales; Araliaceae. The record is from RNAcentral.